CGUCGUGCUCGGCUCCGGUCAGUUCAUGUCGAGCAUCCCUUGGUGGAAGGCGGCGACGCGGUCGGGCGUCACGCACUGGGUGAUGAGCCGCGCCCCUGGCUUGUGCGCCCACGGCUUCACCAGUAUGCACGUCGCGAUGUAGUCCAGGUUCGUGAGCGGCACGACGUGCGCCGGCGGCCCCCAGCCGUAGUCCACCUCGGCGAACCCGAGCCGCGUCCAGUCCGACACCAGCAGCGUCCGGUAGUCCGACGUGAUCUGGUACGGGUCGACGCCGCCGUCGGCCCCGGCCUCCCCGGUCGCCCACCGCCCGAACUCCGACGGCAUCCGCCUCUUCCCGUCCUUGAUGAUCUUCACCACUUCGGGGAUCGUGGAACCGGACACCUUGCCCGCAGGCGCCGAGACGCGCAUGAUGUAGUAGCAGUUGCCAUAGAACCCGGCGCCGGCGCGCGGGAGCGCGGCGUGCAGGAGGGGCCGGGCGUUCAUGGCGAAGCAGAGGUGGACGGUGGAGUCCGGCUCGAAGCCCGCCGCGCGGGUGCGGCUCUGCCACGCCUUGGCCACCAGCACCUCGAACGCCGAGCACCAGGAGCCGGCGUGCUCCGUGUUAUACUGGCUCUUGAAGUGGUUGAUGUAGUCCGCGGAGAUGUCCAUGGCGAGGUACUCGAGCCGCUUGGCGCCGGCGGGGCUGGGCAGGCUGCCGAUGACAGCGUCGGCCGGGUCGGGGAUGGCCUCGCGGCCCCACUGCGGCUCCACGGUCAAGCCCUCCACGGCGCGGCCGCGGGCGAGCUCCCCGACGGCGGCCAUGAACUGCGCGGCGCCGGGGCCGUCGGCGACGGCGUGGCUGAAGCGGAAGCCGACGACGAAGCCGCCGCAGGCGAAGGAGGUGACCUGGACGAGCAGGACGAGCUUCCGCGGGUCCUCCUCCUGGGCGGGCGUGGGCGGGAGCAGCUCAUCCUUGGCGAUCAUCAUGGGGUGGUCCAGGUACUCCACGUCCUCGAGCGCGCAGCCGGCGACGGCCUCGGUGAACCAGACGCCGCUGCCGUCGCCGCCGCAGUCGACCUGCAGCAGCCCGCCUCCCUCCGUGAACCCCAGGCGGCCGGCGAGGGGAUAAUACUGCACCAAAGCCUGCGCCAGUGCCCGCUCGAUGGUGCACGCGGGGCCGGCAUCGCCGGCGUCCCGGUGAAGAGCCGGCUUGAAGACGUGCAGCGACUCGAUGAGGGCCAUCUGGGUGGGGUAGCGGUCGAGCCAGGAGAGGCGGAGCGGGCCGGCCGGGGUGGGCUCGGCCGGGGUCACGAGGCGCUGCGCCAGCCGCUGGACGGACUUGGCGGCCGCCAUGGGUGGGUCGGAGGCAGGAAUGUUGCAAUGGGGAUUGGGCAGGAGCUGGCGAGAGGAAGAGUGGGUGGUGGGUGGCCGGAGCGGAAGAAAGCGCGUCGUAUUCAAUUCAACCGGUUGGUGCCUGGCUGGCUGGCUGCUGGUUGCUUUGACUUGGCAGGGGAGGGGGAAGCGCGUCGUAUUUAUAGGAGCGACGUGCGUGGCCGAAGUGUCUGUAGCGGUGGUGACGAGGAUGGGAGUCGGCGAGUGAAUGCGAGAAGCUGUCCGGGGUGGGAUUUUUUUCUUUUCUUUCGAUGAAGAAUGUCCGGGAUGAUAUUUUUGCGGGGCUGGGUGGGGUGGGGUGGGGUGGGGGAGCGGCGCGGCGCUUUCCUGGCGCUAUCCACUGGCAGCCUCGUGUUCCGUAGGAUAGGCAGGCUACAGCACGCGCCAGCGGUCGACCAGCAAUUAUCAUGGCACGGACGGGAGCAUCAGUUCCAUCGUCAUCGUGGAGUGCUAGCUGGUAAUGCAUCUCUGUCAGUACAGUGCUACACUAGCACGUACUCGUGCAUGUUGCAUUUGGACAUGUUAAUACUAACUGACAAUGGAAUGAACUAACUAAUCUGUUCAUUAAUCCCGCCACGGUUAGAGCAAGUACAAUAAAGUACAGUGGGUGGCUGUAAAGAUUAAAGUACUAUAUUUUUAUUGAGUUGAAUGAGAGAAAAGAGAAGAGAGAACAAAAGAGGGGCUCUUCAUUAAGAGUUAGGUCUAAUACGUGCUUCUAGGUGCUUUGUCAGAAUAAAAGGUGAGCUACAUAUAAUAAAAAUAGUACUUUUUUAUAACUAACUAAAAUACAAACUAGCUACUGUAAAAUAGACUACAAGAUGGCCUAUAUCCAACAGUUGGCUAUAUUAUUCACCAUGCUUUUAGUGUCAGCAAACGCCGGUUUAACUAAAGGUGCUGGGAGCAUAGGCUACCUGGCUCCAUCCACUUGCGGCUUCGUGUAGCACACGGCUAGCACGCAUCCGUUAAUCAGCGUGACACGGACUCCAACAACAACCUGCCCUUUUCAGCUUCAUAUUAGACCCAGUACAAUAAGGUACAGUCAGUAGGCUGUAAGAAUUAAAAUACUAUAUUUUUACUGAGUUGGAUGAGAAAAGAGGAGAGAGAAAGGAAGCCGGCUCUUCGUGAAGAGUCAGCUCUAGCACGUGCUCCUAGGUGCUUUGUGAGAAUGAAAGAUGGGUCAUAUAUGAUAAAAGUAGUACUCUUUUAAGCUAACUAUUGUACAAGUUAGCUAUAAGAUGGGCUAUAAGACUGCUUAUAGCCAGCAGUUGGCUAUACUAUUAACCAUGCUCUUAAAACAACUCCAACAGAUGCGCAACGACGUAGGCGCGUUAAAAAAAUUACAGCGUUGAAAUUUAUUUUUUACAUGUGGCAGGAUGCUCACUUCAACAGAUGCGGUAAAAUUAGAUGUGAUGCUGAUGUUUCGAUAGGCGCAUUAAAUAUGAAGUGUGUGCACUUAGUACAAACCAUAUUUCUCAUUUUUUUAAUAAAAAAAAUACAAAAACAAAAAAUAAAUCAAGCGACAAUAAAAUAGUUCAUAAGCAUACUUUAACUUAACGAUACACUAAAUAGACUAGAUAAAUAAACAACAUAGAUUAAAUAAAUAAACUAGAUAGAUAAGUACUCCUCCUCCUCCUCGCUACUCCUCACACUCAACGGUGGUGUAGUCCGUCGUUCAUGCUAGCGAUCAUCAUCACUGCUCCAUGUCAACGCCUGUCCCAGGUCGCACUGAGCUACCGUUGCAGCCUUCUGCUCAAGCAUGUUCGUCCGCUCUGCGGCUAGCACCGUCCUCUGUCGCGUUCAGAACUCACGCUCGUCGAGAACUUCCUACGGAAAGCGUUGACGGCACACCUUCAUGGCAUGCCCGUCCGUCUCGACGAUGAGGAGGCGGCGCUCCCGCCUCUGAUUGAUGUGGCGGUCCUCCGCGGUGAUUAGCCGUGGGAGAGGCACGCGGGACUGCAUCUCCUCGCGCGUCCAAACUUCCAGAAAAUUCAUCUGUGACCGCGGCCUAGCAAGCCACCACGCCGCCGCAUCGUACGCGCGGGUGGCCUCUUGGGCAGUCUCAAACGUCCACCAAAGCGCAUCUCCAAAUAAAACACGUCGGACGGGAAGGCACGGACGCCGGAAUAGCCGGAACUGCCCCGACGGCGGCGGGGGAGGGGGAGAGGUCGGCGUGGCCUGGGGGUGGAAUUUUACGGACGAGCGUGUGUGGUUUUUAUAGGGUGCGCUGGACGACGUCGCGCGUCAAAACUGUCCCGUGCGUUGCCGUUUUUCACGCGUACGUUGUUUUGUUUUGCGUAUCAGUUUUUCCCGCGUCCGCUAUAGCACGAAAACCGCCCGACGCGCAAAACAUGACGAUUUCUCCUAAGUGCGCCAUAUUUACCGCAUCGGUUGGAGAUGUUCUCAGUACAUGUUGUAUUCGCAAGUCUUUGGACUGAUAACAUGCGUGCCUGAAAUAUCAAGCUGUCUAUUCAGUUUAUGACCAACUAGCAAAAGAGCCCGUGCGUUGCAACGGGUAAGAAAAACACUCACUAAUCUAACAAUCAUGAGUCCAUAGGCCCAUGUCCUUUAUUUCGUCACAUGACAUCCCAUCUGUAUUUCUAUUUACCCUUCUUUCCACGCUCGUCGACGUUGGGCUUAGUGUUCACACCGCCACAACAUGUUUGAAUGUUGUCAAUCAUAAGAUGUCUCCCUCUCGACAAAAAAUGAUAUAUUUUUUCUGUGAGGUUUUGACGAGGCAUGCAUGCGUGAUUAUAGAUAUUGUUUUUGUUCUUCAUCCUAGUAUAUGUAUGUAUAUACAUAUAACCAUUUGCCAGCAUUACCUUCAGCGUUGCUCUCAUGUCAUCCCACAUGCCAUUCCUGCAAAAAGCAUGCAGCAAGAUCGUGUAGGUCGCUACGUUUGGAACAGAACCCUUAUCCUCCAUCUGUCUAAGGAACUGCAUGGCCGAACCAAGCCUCCCAAGCUUGCAAACCCAUGUAUCAAUAUCUUGUAAGUGUGUGCGUCUGGUGGGCAGCCUUUUGAUCCCAUUAUCUCAUACAGCUCCGUUGCCUCUGUUAGCUUCCCAUCCAAAAGACAUCCGCCAAUCACCGUGUUAAAUAACACAACAUUCAACUCCGGCACCCUCCCGAGCAUUGUGCGUGCCUCAUCCACCUGCCUUGCUUGGCACAUGCCCUGGAUAAGGAACCUGUAUGUCAUGGUGUUUGGCAGGCAGCCCUUUAUCAUCAUCCUGUCCACAAGCCUCACAGCCUCACGGAGACGCCCAAGCAUGCAUAGCCCGUGUACAAUGUUAUUGAACGUGUUGACAUCAGCAGAGCACCCCAUGAGGAACAUCUCGUCGAGGAGCAUGGUAGCCUCGGCGACCUCACCCUGCUCACACAGGGCGUGGAUGACCGUCUGAUAGAGCACCACGUCAGGCACACACCCAUGCCCUGCCAUGCUGCGGAGCAUCGCGAGCGCCUCAUCAGCGCGUCCGAGGCGGCAGAGUGCGCGCGCAGCGACACCGAAGGUAAAGGUGGUGGGUGGGAUGCGAUCCCUGUGGACCAUACGGCGGUAGAGCGCGAGCACAUUGGCAUGGAAGUUCGCCCUGGCCAAUGCCGCGAGGACGGUGUUGUACGAGCGAAAGGACGGCGAGACGGCGAAGCGGCUGGGCAACUGGUCGAGCAGGUGGAGGACGCGGCCAGGGGGCAGGGAGCGCAGCAACGGUAUGAGGUGGGUCUCCCGGAGAGGAGGGCAGCGUGUGGAGGGGAGGGGUUCAAGGAGGGAGAGCGCGCGCUCUGGGUCCGCGUCGGCUGUGGCGAGCAAGGGGCGGAGGGGGAGCGACGAGAGGACGGGGUGGGAGGCGGCGUACCACUGGAGGAGGAGGAGGAGGGAGGUGGUCGGGGACAGAGGCAGCGCGAGGAGGCGCCCGAGACGUUGCGGGGUGAGCGGGCGGGAGGAAAGCGUGCAUCAGAGGCGAGAGAGGUCGAACGACGCGAGCAGCUNNNNNNNNNNNNNNNNNNNNNNNNNNNNNNNNNNNNNNNNNNNNNNNNNNNNNNNNNNNNNNNNNNNNNNNNNNNNNNNNNNNNNNNNNNNNNNNNNNNNNNNNNNNNNNNNNNNNNNNNNNNNNNNNNNNNNNNNNNNNNNNNNNNNNNNNNNNNNNNNNNNNNNNNNNNNNNNNNNNNNNNNNNNNNNNNNNNNNNNNNNNNNNNNNNNNNNNNNNNNNNNNNNNNNNNNNNNNNNNNNNNNNNNNNNNNNNNNNNNNNNNNNNNNNNNNNNNNNNNNNNNNNNNNNNNNNNNCAUUCCACGGUGAAAAACCACGCGAUGCUCCCUCCAGCUCAGGCACGCGACGGCAACGCACCCGGUCCAUGCACGGACGCGGUCCAGACCGGGCGCGUGCUCCGUUUAACUAAGCAACUGACCGCUCCGAUCCCCUUGGCGUGGACGAGAGCGCGAGCUAGUGGCAGAUUAACCAACUGCUUAAUUACCUAAUCGACAACGACGGUGACGCCGGGGGCCUUCGAUCCACAAAAAGUAACGAUGAUGGAUGGAUGGCGAUGGCGAUCGACUAUUCUCAGACGAGGACGGACCGACGGAUGGGCGAGAGGGACACGAAAACGGAACGCGCGUGAGACAGAGACUACCCAAAGCAAAACAAAAGAAUUGUUAUUAUAGAAGGUGCUCCACUGCAGUCCAGUGGCUUGGUUUGGUGCCUGGCCUUUUGGGGUCGACACAUAUAAUUUUCUGCGAGCCACAUUUUCCUCGAGUUCUCACCUCGUUGCCCUCUGUAGGAAGAGUCAUUCGAAUCGAAAGCGUUAAAGCGGCAACGGCGCGUUUAUUUAGGAUACUCCGACCGAACACUAUACACACAUGCAUGCAGAUCGCUUUCCGAUAAAACUAAAUUAAUAGUAAGAGGGGGUAAAGAGAAGAUACACAUGCUCGUAGUAGGUUUUUACAUGCGCGCGCUUAGCUAGUUUAUCAUUAGAUUAAAGCCAAAGUGUGGAUGAUUGCAUUCGCCACUUCGCCAGCCGUCGCGUUUACGCAUCUGCUUCAUGUGUUGAUGAGAAAAAGAAACAUGCACUGAACUUGUAUAAUGUCACGCCUGUUGUGGUGUUGUAAUUUGUAAAGCAGCCAUUGAGCAAGUUGGAUGGGCAUUUUGUCUGUUUGCUGGGAUCCGGCUGCUAGCUCGCCACUCACAAGCGCACCAAACCAAGCCACUCCAACCAGGAAGUGCAUCAACUUCAACUACAAUGCUGCUACUUUAGUUGGCGAGAGUUUCAGUGUCUCGCACGUAUUCUUUUCCAUGAUAAACUAGUAUACGACUUGUCUCUCUCGUUGAGCUGUCCACCAUUAACUAGUAGUCUUAGGGAGACCUCCAACCCCGAUUCCAUCAAAUAAUUGGGGUACAUAUUGAGAUGGCACGGCGAACCGACAGAAUACCCGUUCUAGAAUACGGUCAGGACAACGCUAGAAAAUUGAAGAUAUUGUUUUCUGGCUUUCUGCAGUUGAGCGAUUAUUCUUGUUGAAACUGACUUCAAACUAAUAUAAAGUGAGUUGUUCCGUCGUAGAGAUGCACAUGGGUAGGCUACUCAUCAAUAUUUUCAAGUGUUUUGAUCUUUGUUUCUUCUAGACUACAUCCUGGUAUGUGCAUCAUUGUUAUGAGAGUUACCCAAUGAGGUGAUAGCGCCAUCAAUGCGGCUUAGUUUAAGUUACAGCCGACAAGCUAAUUCACAAGCCUAGUGCUUGUGGAGCGUUGAUCUCAGUUGCAGUCAGUGGCUGAGGUUGGCUCCUUUGUUGAAGGGACUUGAAGAAAACCAUAGCUACUCCUCUCCGGGUGUGCUUGCCAUUUGUGAGAUUGUGGAUGUAAAUGGUGGAAGCGUUCCUACCUCACAUAGGAGUGUAUGUGCGUUUACUUAUACGUGACAAUGAAUGCCCUUGUUAGAGCAUCUCUAGCAAACGCUGUAUAAUGAUCAAACCCGUAAAAAACGACCUGCUUACACUUUCGAUCGGAAAAACAGCGUGGAGCAGACCCCAUAAAACUUGUUCGAUCCGUAAACUUUUUAAAAGGCACGGUAAAUUCGUCCGCCAAAACCUUAUAUGUGCAGUUUUGUAGGCACUGUACAGUUUAACUCGUAAACUGGUCAAACCUCGUCGAAGCAGACGUGCCGCCAUGGAACUGGCCGGAAUCUAUCUGAAACUCAUCGGAAUUCGUGGCAGUAUGUCGGAAGAAGCCGCCGCACGCUGGAAUUUGCCGCCGCCGGUCCGAAUUGCGGCCAGCUUGACCUCCACUCUCGAGGCGAGGCCGUCCACGAGCAGGGCAGAGCAGGCCACCGGCGGCCCGAAUUAGGGCGGGGCGGCAUUGGGGAAGAGCGAGGCAGGGGUGGGGGAACUUGCGCGGACACAUCGGGAAACGUGCGUGCGGCGGUGGGCAUUGUCGGGCUCAAAUCGGGGACGGGCGGGCGCGCCAGAGAAUGCACGGUCGGGGCGGGCGGCGCAGGGCUCCGCCACUCCAUGCGUGGCCCGGAACAGACGACGCAGGGACGAGGUGGGGGCGAGCCGGGGUGCCAGGGUGAGGCACGCCGUGGCCGGAGACGGCUUCCUGGGACAGGACGAAAAAAGAAAAAUAUGAGCUACAGUAGGAUACAAUUUCAUUUAUGGGGUGUGCUCUGUCUCGGGCAAUUUCGCACCGUAAAAACAGUUUACAGCGCCCCUUACACGUGUUUUUAAGGGUCGACUUUUGUAGAGAUGCUCUUAGAGAAUCUACAGCCGGACCCCUCAAAUGCCCGCACAUGCGCCUGGGAACGUCCGCGGACACUUACCGGUCACGCCUCAAAUAAUGCAGUCUAUAUCCGGAUACCACAAAUUAGAAACCUCAAAUCCAUACUAUUACAUGCAACGAAAACCUAAUACUAAGCGGAGCUCGUGUGGCUCCGCUGUGUCCAUGUUCGGUGGCUUGCUGCGCCCCUUAUAGUGUCGGUUCACUCGCCGACGAGGUAGAGUAGGACAUGGGACACAAGCCGUCUCAUGGGAGUCGAGCUCCCAACGUCUCCCAUGCCACAAUCUUCCUCGUUGGAGCCCGUAAUAAGGACGGUGCUAGUCGACAUGAGGUCGAUGACAGAUCUUUCCUGGAAGGAGCCGACGUCCACCACGACGAUGUUGCGUCGACCGCAGUGCUGCACCCUACGGGGCGCCAGAGAGUGUGACUCCGCCUCUCUAACAUCCGUCACCGCGAGGGCCACCACUGCACCCCGUGCCCGCUGCCUCGCCCGGCGGGCACGCACGCCAUGACAUCGUUCGAGGUCGGCCAUGCUUCAUGCUCGGCGUGCCAACGAANGUAGAUGCGGGCCAAUGCGGGCCAGGAGGGCGUACUUAGGAUCCCCAUAUCCGCCCCAUAUUUGGGCUGGAAAUGCGGGGUGCCAGUUAGCUCGGACGUUUGAGGCCGGUUUGAGAGGCCUGUCUGGAUCGAAUUUUUGUGACCGUGCACUCACCGAGAGGUCUGCCCGGGCGUUUGAGGAGGGUUUGAGUGGUCUGGGUGUAGAUGCUCUUACGGUAUGCAAAUUAGGAUGACUGCCACAUACGUGCACCCCACUUUUUCUAGGGCUAAAUUUUAUUAUUAGCAACCAAGGCAAUAUACAGACAAUCAUUUCCCUUUGUUGGAUGAUGAGAUGGAUAAAACAUUGUUGGAUGUUCUUGUUGAUCAUCACAAUAGAGGUGAUCAUGCCCAAAAUGGGUGGAAGCCGCAUGUCUAUAAUGCUGCUAUAAAAGCGAUACGUGAUAAGUGUGGACUCGACAUCACAACAAAGGAGAAAAUAUGUUCAAGGAUGAAGACUUUUGAUAAGCAUUAUGAAGUAAUUAGCAAGAUUCUUUCUCAGAGUGGAUUUGGUUGAUAUUGGGCCAAUAAUAAGCUACUCAUGGAUAGUGAUGAUGUGUGGGACAAAUAUGUGAAGGUAAAAAAGAAUGUUCAUUUUUUAUUGUACUAUGUUAUAUGCCAGGACCUAAUUUACUAUGUAUGUGUGAGCAGGCUAAUGACAAAGCAACUUGUUACAAGAACAAGGAAGUGAAGAAUUGGGAGGCAAUAUGCACGAUAUACUCGAAAGAUCAUGUAACCGGUGAAGGUGCAAUGACUGGUGCUGAAACUGAAGUGCCACCGAUUGUACCACAUGUAGUAGCCACCGAAGCCUCGCCAGAAUUGCCCCCCAAAAGGAUGCGAACAUGUGAAGCUAUCUUGUGCAUGCUUGGAGACAUGAAAGGUACUUUCCAAGAUGCAAUGAAGUCACUUGAGCCACUAGAACUGCCCAUGGUUAAUCCUCCACUUGUAAUCCUUGUUGCCCUCGAAAUGAUACCAUAUUUGGCUCGUCCACACACACUACGAGCAUAUGGUAAACUCAUCCUUGGUGAACGCUUAUUCGAAGCGCUUAUGCAAUUGCCCAUUGACUUUAGAAAGGAAUGGUUGUUGAUGUUGAACGAGAAUAAUGGUGUUUGAUUGCUUCCAAGCGCUUGGAGAUGCUUUUUAGCAUUUGGGCUACAUUGUGGCCUUCGUUUCCUUCAUGUAAUAGCUAUGAACUUAUGGUACUAAUUAUUAGUAUGUUAUGGUAAUGAUGGAAGAAAAAUGUAUGAGACAUGAUUUACUAUGUUAUGUGUUGCUGUUUUCGUAUAAUUGUUGUUGUUUUAAGUGCUAUUGUUUGUGUACAAGUGUUGCUGCAUACAUGAUAUUCAUGUAUAACUUUGUGUGUGUAAAGUGCUGCUAUUGUACUCUGUAUAUAUAAUUAUUUAGAAAAAAUGCUCGCAUAUAUUGCAUAUAAUUUAAUUGUGAGCAUUACGUCAAAGUACAAUGGUCAUUCUAUGAUAAAUGAGUAAUCCCAAAUUCCAAUGUAGAGAAUGACCAUUCAAACAACCUUCAGAAUUGAGCCUCUCAUGCGAAUUCUAAGUGUCAAUCCUUUGCACAUCCAAACAAUAGAAUUCGGGUUCAAUGUCAAUAUCAAAGUCUGGGAGAUUUGAUAUUGGGUCCAAUUCAAUUCCAUGGUCCUGAAUAUCAACAUACAAACAAGGCAUUAGGGAAAGAGAUUUCCUCCAAGCCCAAUAUGGAAUUAGAGUCCUAGACUUUGUUGCAUAAUAAGUUUAAUCGAGAGGAGGAUCUACAAUAGAAAGCUCUCUUAGCAAAAGAAUGAUGUACAAGAUUUUUGAUGUGAGGAACAUGCUCAACUGUGUAUUGCAAUAGAUUAGGAGUAAGGUUAGAAAUCCGCUAGCGUCCGUGUUAUUUUCCAAUCACGUGAUUUUUGAAUUAAAUCUUUGGCUUCAGUUGCAUUCAUCAAGUUCCUACAAUCAGAUAGAAAAUAAACUUUAUUCCACUUCAUGCCUUGACAAAUGUAGCCAAGAGAAGUAAUCCAAGAGCUUCCGCAUGCAAGAUAGAUGAGUGUUUGUGGUUGCAGCUUGAAUGAACAUUGAAUGUAUCAUUUACUAAUUCUGAAGGAAAACUCCAAACGAUGCUUCAUUGGGCGCCACCAUCGAGUUGUACGUUGCAGAUGGUGUUGUAUGUUGCAUCGACAUAGGCUAGAAAACCUGCAUUUUGGAUAAACAAAACUAUACUUGGAACACUAUUGGUGUUGUCACCAACAAUUGUAUUUUCUUCCUCCUUUUCCUCCAUUGAACCCGCAAUAAGCAUACCUUCCGUGGCAUGGAUGAAUUGCAUAUUGCUCCAUUUUUUCCUUAUUAAAGUGAAGAUAAUUUCUUUGUUUCCAUAUGUUCCAUAGAAUGGUGAAAAUAGGUUCUAACUUAGGAUUUGGGUGUUGAACAUUCAAGAUUGUUUGAAUGAUAUCAACCGUAUAAGAAGAAGUGUUCGACAUAUCAGCUCUUAAGCCAUAUGUAUACCAAACAGAUCUAGAAAAAUCACAUUGAAAGAAGAGAUGUAAGUCAGUCUACUUGACCAUAUCUACAACAUUUUUUUAAUAUAUUUACAAUAUCUCGAAGUUUUAAAGUCUCAUGCUACAACUCUCCUAAUUAAUCUCCAUGCAAAAAAUUUAAUUGUGGGAACUAUAUUUUUACAUUUCCUAACCUGGUUGAGGACAUGAACUUCCUGGUCCGAAACAAAGGCUCUACUCCCUAUAGAGCCAUCCAGGAUUACCUGCAUAAGAGCUCUAUAAGCGCUUUUUGUAGUACAAUCUGCAUUGGGUGUGUGAGACCAACAUAUAGUAUCCUUAAGGUUAGCAUUCAUAAUACUAAAUUCAAAAUGCUUUUGAAAGAACCAUCAAAAUAAGCACUUAUCUUCUCUUCAUCCCAAACUUUGGAAUUUCGCUUCAAAUGUCCCAAAUAAUACUAGGACAAGGACCUUCUGCAUUAGAAUUGACGUGAUUAUGAAUAUUCCCCCAAUCUUUACACUAAGGACUAGUACAAAUACAAGAGUUGCCAUUGGCGAUUUGAAUUUGACUAUUCAUAAGCUUGAAAAGGAGAAUCUUAAUGUAAAAAGCCGAAAUGUUGAUUUAGGAGCAUUAUAGUUGGGUUUCCAUAUGUAACAAUUGUGAAAAUAUUUGUCCUUGAGCAUUUUUGCAAUGAAAAAAUUAUGAUUUUUAAUAAUUCCAAGCCAUCAUAGCCACCAUGGACUUAUUCAUAAUAUCCAGAUCUCUGAUUCCUAAUCCACCCUUAUGCAUAAUUUUUGGAGUCGGUUUACUUAUUUUAUCACAUAGCUAUUCCCUUUUCAGGAUUCUGGUGUAAUUUGAAAGGUUUCUUCGAUGUGCUCUUCCGGUGUAGUUACUUGAAUAACGUAUGGAUCAAUGUUAAUGGGAUUACCUGUAAUAUAAUGUUUAAUUGUUUGUCCAUUAACCACCUACAAGUUGUGUCAUUUGGUGUUAUUGAUCUUGAUGGCUUUGGAAUGGUAAACUUCUUCAACGAUAUAUGGUCCUUCCCACUUAGUGAGAAGUUUACCUACAAAAUAUCUUUAACGAGACUUGUACAAAGAAUUGGAAGAUCAUGGUGCCCCCAUGUUUGGUUUUGGUAAUUGAUGACAAUCCCUAUGGACCAGUGGUUGUCUUGAGUUAUAUUUGAAGGGUUUAUCCAAAUGCAUUACUUGAAGACCAUUUGUUGGUUUCAAGGUUAUUAGAAGAAGAUUAUGUGUUGACCAAGGGGCUAUUCAUGGAGCUAUCCAAAGAUUGAUCAUGUUAGUGUUGACCCUUUUGCAACCAUGUCUUGAAGAAGAAGAUUGUGUGAACAUUCAUGUUUACCUUCAAGACAUCAUCAUUAUGAAGAGAGAAGAUUUCAUACAAGUUUGAUCAAGACUAAAGGUAAGAGUGGAUUCAAGUUGAUCAAUACACACAUCAUAGAACACUACUAGGGUAAGCCCUAGAAAUAGCACAUGUCAAAAUACUAGCAAUAGCGCGGGCAGACGUGCUACUGCUAUGACGCUACAACUAACUUUUAGCAGUAGCGUCGGUUGCCCAAUGCUAUUGAUAACUAAGAUAGCAGUAGUGUUCUUUUAUAACCAACCCUACUACUAAUCAGGCAUAUUUAUUUUUUAUAUAUUUAUAUUGUAUUUACACACGGCUAUACAUAUUAAUAUAUAACAUCAAUAAUAAUUGUGCAAGAAACAACAUUUAUAUUGAAGUGGAUGGGUGCAAGUGAUUAGGUUGGGUUAGUAGGAAAAUUUGAUGUUACGACGGCAUACAAGUGUCAAAUGGAAGGAUUCCCUUUAUUCGACACUUGCGUGUCGUUGUAACAUCAUAUUUUCCUACUAACCCAACUUAUUCACUUGCACCCAUCCACUUUAAUGUAAUCCAUGUCAGCUAAUAGCUCAUCAUCCUUAGUAACACAACAACUUAUAUAUCAUCAUCUUAAUCAUCUAACAACUCAUGACAAGUUGACCAAUACUACAGAAUGUCAUAAACCAUAAAAUGUCCUCUCUCUUAGCUAGCACAUACUAUUCUCUCCUAGGUAGAACCUACUACUCUAUCCUAGGUAAAGUAGCAUAAAAUAGGUAAGCUCCUUCCACUCCAUUGUGGAGAAUAGAGAUCCACCCAUCUCUCACAUGUUGUGUGUGCAAAUCUUUCGCGUCCCUGUCAAGUGGUUGUGUGCGGUCUUCCAUUACUUUGCUAAAUCCUUUGAGUUUUAAGCUUGCAUACCUUCUAGAAAUCGAGUAUGCAUUGCGGAAACAUGUAGGCCAUGAUCAUAAGUUGAUAACAUUCAAAUAAUGACCCUUUACAAAUAUAAGUUCAUGCACAACCUCUGGCUAGAAUUUUUGUUAAAGAACAUAAUAAUAACAUUGUUAGCAAUUUAAUUUACCUUAAGAAAAAUCUAUGUAUGCAAAAGAUGGAAUAAUUAAUGACACAAUAGAAAAAAUAAUAUCACCAUGCUAUCUACAUGGAAGUUACUGUGGUUCAACUCAUGCACUAGUGGCACAUAUUCUGAAUAACUUCCCCCAAUAUAUUUAUAAUUGAUCUUAAAAUUACCAACAUUACAAAUAAAUGAGAUCAGAUGAUUUUUCUCCAACCAAGUUAGAUCGGAGCCAGGACUGUAAUAGGUCCGGUCUACUAUUUUUGAGUUUUUUUAAGAAACAAAAUAAGCUAUCAAUUGAAAAUAAACAAGUGAAGUAGGGAUGAAAACCAACUAUAUUUGAAUAAACAAUGCAAAUUACUUCGGAUAUAUGGUUGACAAACUCACAUAGAGGUAAAACUGGAAGCAUAUCGACAUCCACCAGAAUGUCGAUAUUACCUUCUAUAUCAUCUUCACGACGAAUAUCGAAGGUUAUUUCCAUAUCCUCCUCAAAUCCACAUGCCUUGCUUAGAGCUUCCAAAUUUGAGCAACCAAAAUGCGAGUGAUUAACUGCACUGUAUAGUUUAGCCCAAAAUGUGAAACCAUGUUUAGUCCUCAACUGAACUCUCCUCGUCUCCAUAUUCUCCAUUUCUUGGAAACCGAGCUUCUCCAAGACAUACCGUCUUGCAUGGAAAGGGAUGCACUAGUUGAACUGUAAAAACGGAAAUUACACGUUGAAGAAAAGAAACACAAAGUCAUGAUUAAUGAAGAAGAAAUUGUUGUCAUCGUUGCGUACCGUAAAAACAUCAAAGGUCUCUUCAAGCUUGAUGGUGAAGAACCUUCCGUUUCACAGGUGAGGCUCAUCGCAUAGACCACACUCUUCGCCGCAUAAAUCACACUCAGGGAUCCCCUCGUCGUCAGACAUUUUCUAUGUCCAUGAUUCAAACAUUAAAAAUCGACGACAAUUAUACGAGAAAGUGUUCAACAUGGGUUGAGUUUUGGUUUCUCGAGACUUUUCUUGAAAAACUCUCACAUGUCAUGGUGUAUAUGGUGCACACUCUGUGACCCUGACAUGGUGGUGUAUGUUGGUGGACACUCGCUCACACUAAUAUUGCGACCGUUGGUGAUGGUCGCUCCUCCCUUUGUUCUUGCAUGCAUUACUAAAAUCUCUAGCACAAGGAACAAAGGAGGAAGCGACCCCAUGACAAUAGUCAGGAUUCUUCCUCUAAUAUUUCAACUGUCGGUGCUCGUUUCUUCCUCUUCUUCUCUCGCGCAUUAUACCAAGGUAUAUAUCUCGAGAAGAAGAAGAGUGAAACGACCCCCAUGACAACAGUUGGGAUGCUUCCUUUGAUAUUUUGAUCGUUGGUGUUGGUCGCUUCCUCUUCCUCUCUCGCGCAUUAUACCAAGGUAUUUAUUGCGAGAGGUCCCAUUGUAAAAUGGGUGCCUCUAAGCAAGAAUUAAAAUUUGUGUAGGUUGCCUUCUCCGGUGCAGUUAAGUGGGUGAUUGAUGGUGGAUGCACCAAUCAUAUGACCUGAGAUGGCGCAUUGGUCAUGGACUUUAUGGAAGCUAUUUGACCAUUUAUGAGCAUUGUAUUUGGUGGAGGGUCUAAAGGACAUGUACUUGGUUUAGGCAUGGUGCCUAUCACCAAUGACAUGUCCAUUGAAAAUUUCAUGCUUGUCCAAUCCCUUAAAUAUUAUUUACUUUUUAUUCGUCAGUUGGCUUCCAUUGGUUAAUAUACACUAUUUGGACUAACGGAUGUGAAAGUAUUUAAGAGAUAUACUCUUGAAGUUUCCUUUGUGGGGGAGUUGGAUGGCAACCUUUACGUGAUUGAUUUCUCAAAAGAGAUCACAUUCCAUGCAACUUUCCUCAUGACCAAUACCGACAAGGGGUGGCUAUGGCAUCCCCGGCUAGCCCAUGUCGGCAUGAGAAAUCUUCAAGAUCACUUAAAGGGUUAGCACAUCCUUGGACUAACCAAUGCAUCUUUUGAGAAAGAUCGUCUGUGUAGUGCAUGCAUAGCCAAGAAGCAACAUCAAUCAAAGCAUCCACCCAAGAAUAUCAUGUCAACCUCAAGAAGAUUGGAGCUCCUUCAUGUGGACCUGUUUGGGCGUCCUUCAUGGGAUAGUCUGGGUGGAAAGAAGUACAUACUUAUUAUUGCUGAUGAUUACUCAAGAUAGUCAUGGGUGUUCUUCCUCAAGUACAAGGACGAGAGGAAGAUCACCUUCAUUGAUUUCACCAAGCAAGCUCAACACAAGUUUGACAAAGAAAUCUUGGCAAUAAGGAGUGACAAUGGCUCUGAAUUCAAGAACUACACCUUGGAAAAGUUUCUUAGUGGUGAAGGAAUUGAACAUCAAUACUCUGCACCAUAUACCCCACAAUAAAAUGGGGUACCAAGAGGAAGAUCACACACUUGUUGGAAUGGACAGGUCCAUGUUGGAUGAGUACAAGUCACCACAUAGUUUCUGGGACGAGGUUGUCAACACCGCAUGCCAUGCAUCAAAUCGUCUCUUCCUUCGCAAGCUAUCGUCACCAUGGGUGUAGGUGCUCUUCCAAUGAAAUAUGUCCCACAUGAAGGUGAAGAUGAGGACACAAGCACCAGUCAUAAUCAAACUACUACUACACCAACAUCAACACAAGAUUCCAUCACUCAAGAGGGUCCCAUAAUUCAAGAACAAGAACUAGAACAAGAGCAAUAUUCUACACAAGAGCAAGAUCAUCAUCAAGGACAAAAACAAGAAAGCACACAUGUUGAUGAUGAUGAACCUUAUGAUGAAGGUGAACCUCAACAAAUGAUGCAUGAAAAAGAAGAGCCUCCACCACACAUUAACAAUCCAUAUGUUGAAGAUGUUGAUGAUGGAAAUGAAGUUGAACCAAGUGAAACAAUAACCUCCAGCAUGUCUCGAGUGUUCGGUCGUGUCGACAUUGACAAAAUUCCAAGCAACCAAUCAGAAGGUAGAGUUACUCGUAAACAAUUGAAAAACUUUCAUGCUCACUUUUUGUUUGUGUCUAGUAUUGAGCCCCUGAGGGUCCAAGAAGUAUUAGUGGAUGUUGAUUAUCUUGUGGCCAUGCAAGAAGAGUUCAAUAGUUUUGAAUGCAAGAACGUGUGGACAUUGGUUAAAAGGCCAACCAAAGAGCAAAAUGUGAUUGGAACAAAAUGGAUCUUCAAGAACAUUAUGGCAGUUCCAUAGCCAUUCCGAGAUAUAUUGCCAUGCAACUUCCACCGUUCCGUUUUUUAUGACACACACCAUCUCUUCCAUAUUGCAUAUAGAGUCGUAUUUUGUUCUAGGUAUCGAGUUGUAAGUAAAUAAAAGUGUGAUGAUUUGCAUUAUUAAACCAUUGUCCCGUGAGAGAAAAGGUUGAUGGAAGCUAUGACUCCCUCACGAGUUGGGAUGAGUCUCAGGACUUUACAAAAAAAAGAGGCCAAAGAUGCCCACCAAAACAAAAUGAAAGAAAGAGAGAAGGGAGAAUGCUACUAUAUUUUUCCACACUUGUGCUUCAAAGUAGCACCAUGAUCUUCAUGAUAGAGAGUCUCCUAUUUUGUCACUUUCAUAUAACUAGUGGAAUUUUUCAUCUCAUGCAGAACCACCUAGUUUUCUUUUUGAGCUUACAUACACUUAUAGCUCUAGUGCAUUCGUUGCAUGGCAAUCCCUACUCACUCACAUUGAUAUCUAUUGAUGGGCAUCUCCCUAGCCCGUUGAUACGCCUAGUUGAUGUGAGACUAUCUUCUCCUUUUUCAUUCCAACCUCCACCAUAUUCUUUUCCACCUAUAGUGCUAUAUUCAUGGCUCACGCUCAUGUAUUGCACGAGAGUUGAAAAGGUUUGUGAUACGUAUCCAUCGUAUCUACUUUUCCAAACUCUUUUGCCCUUGUUUUGAACUCUAAUUUGCAUGAUUUGAAUGGAACUAACCCGGACUGACGUUUUCAGCAGAAUUGCCAUAGUGUUGUUUUUGUGCAGAAAUGAAAGUUCUCGGAACGUCCUGAAAAUUUACGAAGAAUUUUUCUGGAAAAUAUGAAAAAUACCUGUGCAAAGAUCCACCGGAGGGGAUGGGCCAGUGGGCCACAAGCCCUGUUGCCGCGGCCUCCCCCCUGGCCGCGGCAACCAAGCUUGUGGGGCCCACAUGGCUCUGCCGCCCCCAAACUCAGCAAUAUAAAUUCACUUUCACCCAGAAAAAAAUCAGAAGAGAAGAUUUCGUCGCGUUUGCGAUACGGAGGCGCCACCACAUCCUGUUCUUCAUCUGGAGGACAGAUCUGGAGUCCGUUUUGGGCUCCGGAGAGGGGAAAUUGUCGCCAUCGUCAUCAUUAACCUUCUUCCCUCUCCAAUUCCAUGAAGCUCUUCAUCGUUCCUGAGUAAUCUAUUCGUAGGCUCGCUGGGCGGUGAUGAGUAGGAUGAGAUCUAUCAUGUAAUCGAGUUAGUUUUGACGGGGAUUGAUCCCUAGUAUCCACUAUGUUCUGAGAUUGAUGUUGCUACUACUUUGUCAUGCUUAAUGCUUGUCACUAGGGCCCGAGUGCCAUGAUUUUAGAUCUGAAAUUAUUAUGUUGUCACCAAUAUAUGUGUGUUUUAGAUCCGAGCUUGCAAGUUGUAGUUAGCUACUAUGUGUUAUGAUCCGACAACCCCGGAGUGACAAUAACCGGAACCACUCCCGGUGAUGUCCGUAGUUUGAGGAGUUCAUGUGUUCACCAAGUGCUAAUGCGUUGUUCCGGUUCUUUAUUAAAAGGAGAACCUUAAUAUCCUGUAGUAUCCUUUUGGACCCCGGUGCCACGGGAGGGAUGGACAAUAGAUGUCAUGCAAGUUAUUUUCCCUAAGCACGUAUGACUACACACGGAAUGCAUGCCUACAUCACAUUGACGAACGGGAGCUAGCCACAUAUCUCUCCGUGUUAUAACUGUUGCAUGAUGAAUAUCAUCCAAACAAAUCACCGACCCAUUGCCUACGAGUUUGUCCCACUGCUGCUGUUACUUGUUUUGUUCUGCCGCUGUUACUUGUUUUGCUCUGCUGCUGUUACUACUAUCGCUUGCUAUUGCUGUUACUUGCUACUGCUGUCACUAUUGUUGUUCCUUGCCACUGCUAUUACUCGUUACACUGCUGCUACCUGCUACAAUUCUGGUUCGCUCGUCGUUGACGGGAAAAGACAAUUUCUGUCAACGGGCAACUUCUAGCGCCAUUGAUACGACAGUUAGGAAUAGUCUGCAAUCAACAGAUCGUUUCUGACACUGUUGUUAUCAUACUACUUUUCCGUUGAUACUUUGCUUGCAGAUACUAAUCUUUCAGGUGUGGUUGAAUCUGAUACAUUCAGCUGCUAAUACUCGAGAAUAUUCUCUCACCUCCUACCUGGCGAAUCAACAAAUUUGGGUCGAAUACUCUACCCUCGAAAACUGGUGCGAACCCACACGCUGGUGGGCCAUUGCAAGACAAUUGCUAAUUGUUGAGCAACUCGGAGUGCUAGGAGCAUUCUUUUGGCGGCGUUGCCGGAGAAGGUCUGUUGUCACAGUAGCAACAUUUUUCUGGGGCCGUUGCCGGGGAGGUAUUGCUAUAUUCUCUGAGUCACUUGGGAUUCAUAUCUGCUGAUCACUAUGAAGAAGCUGAAUGAUCCAAAAACCAAAGUCUUGCCCUCAACUACGAGGGGAGGUAAGGAACUGCCAUCUAGCUCUGCACUUGAUUCACCUUCAGUUAUGAGUAAGUUUGCGACAUCACCUCCUGCUAGAAAUCUUGAUAUGUCGCCUGUGCUUGAUGAUGCUUAUGAUGCUACUGUUGGAAUUAUGCCCUAGAGGCAAUAAUAAAUAUAGUUAUUAUUAUAAUUCCUGUAUCAAGAUAAUCGUUUAUUAUCCAUGCUAUAAUUGUAUUGAAUGAAGACUCAUUUACAUAUGUGGAUACAUAGACAAAACACCGUCCCUAGCAAGCCUCUAGUUGGCUAGCGAGUUGAUCAAAGAUAGUCAGUGUCUUCUGAUUAUGAACAAAGUGUUGUUGCUUGAUAACUGGAUCACGUCAUUAGGAGAAUCACGUGAUGGACUAGACCCAAACUAAUAGACGUAGCAUGUUGAUCGUGUCAUUUUGUUGCUACUGUUUUCUGCGUGUCAAGUAUUUAUUCCUAUGACCAUGAGAUCAUAUAACUCACUGACACCGGAGGAAUGCUUUGUGUGUAUCAAACGUCGCAACGUAACUGGGUGACUAUAAAGAUGCUCUACAGGUAUCUCCGAAGGUGUUAGUUGAGUUAGUAUGGAUCAAGACUGGGAUUUGUCACUCCGUGUGACGGAGAGGUAUCUCGGGGCCCACUCGGUAAUACAACAUCACACACAAGCCUUGCAAGCAAUGUAACUUAGUGUAAGUUGCGGGAUCUUGUAUUACGGAACGAGUAAAGAGACUUGCCGGUAAACGAGAUUGAAAUAGGUAUACGGAUACUGACGAUCGAAUCUCGGGCAAGUAACAUACCGAAGGACAAAGGGAAUGACAUACGGGAUUAUAUGAAUCCUUGGCACUGAGGUUCAAACGAUAAGAUCUUCGUAGAAUAUGUAGGAUCCAAUAUGGGCAUCCAGGUCCCGCUAUUGUAUAUUGACCGAGGAGUCUCUCGGGUCAUGUCUACAUAGUUCUCGAACCCGCAGGGUCUGCACACUUAAGGUUCGACGUUGUUUUAUGCGUAUUUGAGUUAUAUGGUUGGUUACCGAAUGUUGUUCGGAGUCCCGGAUGAGAUCACGGAUGUCACGAGGGUUUCCGGAAUGGUCCGGAAACGAAUAUUGAUAUAUAGGAUGACCUCAUUUGAUUACCGGAAGGUUUUCGGAGUUACCGGGAAUGUACCGGGAAUGACGAAUGGGUUCCGGGAGUUCACCGGGGGGGGGGGGUCAACCCACCCUGGGGAAGCCCAUAGGCCUUGAGGGUGGCACACCAGCCCUUAGUGGGCUGGUGGGACAGCCCAAGAGGGCCCUAUGUGCCUAGAGAAUAAAAUCAAGGAGAAAAAAAAAGAGGAGGUGGGAAGGGAAGGAAGGACUCCCUCCCACCAAACCCAAGUCCAACUCGGUUUGGGGGGGGGGGAACCUUCCCCCUUGGACUCGGCCGACCCCCUUGGGGCUCCUUGAGACCCAAGGCAAGGUCCCCUCCCUCCCACCUAUAUAUACGGAGGUUUUAGGGCUGAUUUGAGACGACUUUUCCACGGCAGCCCGACCACAUACCUCCACGGUUUUUCCUCUAGAUCGCGUUUCUGCGGAGCUCGGGCGGAGCCCUGCUGAGACAAGGUCAUCACCAACCUCCGGAGCGCCGUCACGCUGCCGGAGAACUCUUCUACCUCUCCGUCUCUCUUGCUGGAUCAAGAAGGCCGAGAUCAUCGUCGAGCUGUACGUGUGCUGAACGCGGAGGUGCCGUCCGUUCGGUACUAGAUCAUGGGACUGAUCGCGGGAUUGUUCGCGGGGCGGAUCGAGGGACGUGAGGGCGUUCCACUACAUCAACCGCGUUCACUAACGCUUCUACUGUACGGUCUACAAGGGUACGUAGAUCACUCAUCCCCUCUCGUAGAUGGACAUCACCAUGAUAGGUCUUCGUGCGCGUUGGAAUUUUUUUUGUUUCCCAUGCGACGUUCCCCAACAGUGGCAUCAUGAGCUAGGUUCAUGCGCAGAUGUCUUCUCGAGUAGAACACAAAAGUUUUUGUGGGCGAUGAUGUGCGUUUUGCUGCCCUCCUUAGUCUUUUCUUGAUUCCGCGGUAUUGUUGGAUUGAAGCGGCUUGGACCGACAUUACUCGUACGCUUACGAGAGACUGGUUUCAUCGUUACGAGUAACUCCGUUGCUCAAAGAUGACUGGCAAGUGUCCGUUUCUCCAACUUUAGUUGAAUCGUAUUUGACCGAGGAGGUCCUUGGAUGAGGUUAAAUAGCAACUCAUAUAUUUCCGUUGUGGUGUUUGCGUAAGUAAGAUGCGAUCCUACUAGAUACCCGUGGUCACCACGUAAAACAUGCAACAACAAAAUUAGAGGACGUCUAACUUGUUUUUGCAGGGUAUGCUUGUGAUGUGAUAUGGCCAACGAUGUGAUGUGAUAUAUUGGAUGUAUGAGAUGAUCAUGUUGUAAUAGAAAAUAUCGACUUGCACGUCGAUGGUACGGCAACCGGCAGGAGCCAUAGGGUUGUCUUUAUACUAACGUUUGUGCUUGCAGAUGCGUUUACUAUUUUGCUAGGAUGUAGCUUUAGUAGUAAUAGCAUGAGUAGCACGACAACCCCGAUGGCAACACGUUGAUGGAGAUCAUGGUGUGGCGCCGGUGACAAGAAGAUCGUGCCGGUGCUUUGGUGAUGGAGAUCAAGAAGCACGUGAUGAUGGCCAUAUCAUGUCACUUAUGAAUUGCAUGUGAUGUUAAUCCUUUUAUGCACCUUAUUUUGCUUAGAACGACGGUAGCAUUAUGAAGUGAUCUCUCACUAAAAUUUCAAGACAAAAUUGUGUUCUCCCCGACUGUGCACCGUUGCUACAGUUCGUCAUUUCGAGACACCACGUGAUGAUCGGGUGUGAUAGACUCAACGUUCACAUACAACGGGUGCAAAACAGUUGCGCACGUGGAACACUCGGGUCAAGCUUGACGAGCCUAGCAUGUGCAGACAUGGCCUCGGAACACAUGAGACCGAAAGGUCGAUCAUGAAUCAUAUAGAUGAUAUGAUUAGCAUAGGGAUGCUUACCACUGAAACUAUACUCAACUCACGUGAUGAUCGGACUUGAGCUAGUGUAAGUGGAUCAUGAACCACUCAAAUGACUAGAGAGAUGUACUUUUUGAGUGGGAGUUUAGCAAAUAAUUUGAUUAAGUUAAACUCUAAUUACCUUGAACAUAGUGUAAGUCCACUUUGAAUAUAUUUGUGUUGUAGAUCAUGGCUCACGCGACAGUCACCCUGAAUUUUAAUACGUUCCUAGAGAAAGCUAAGUUGAAAGAUGAUGGAAGCAACUUUGUAGACUGGGCUCGUAAUCUUAAGCUAAUCUUACAAGCUGGGAAGAAGGAUUAUGUCCUUAAUGCUGCGCUAGGAGAUGAACCACCCGCUACGGCUGAUCAGGAUGUUAAGAAGGCUUGGUUAGCACGUAAGGAGGACUACUCAAUAGUUCAAUGUGCAGUCUUGUAUGGCAUAGAACCGGGACUUCAACGUCGCUUUGAGCGUCAUGGAGCAUUUGAGAUGUUCCAGGAGUUGAAGUUUAUCUUUCAGAAGAACGCACGGAUCGAGAGGUAUGAGACCUCCGAUAAAUUCUAUGCUUGCAAGAUGGAGGAAAACUCGUCUGUCAGUGAACAUGUGCUCAAAAUGUCUGGGUACUCAAACCGUCUAGCUGAGCUGGGGAUUGAACUCCCGCAAGAGGCUAUCACUGACAAAAUCCUUCAAUCACUGCCGCCAAGCUAUAAAGGCUUUGUGUUGAACUACAACAUGCAAGGGAUGAACAAUUCUCCCGGCGAGUUGUUUGCGAUGCUGAAAGUCGCAGAGUCUGAACUCCGUAAAGAGCAUCAAGUGUUGAUGGUGAAUAAGACCACUAGUUUCAAGAGAAACGACAAAGGCAAGAAGGGUAAUUCGAAGAAGAGCGGCAAGCCUGUUGCCAAUCCGACGAAGAAACCCAAAGCUGGACCUAAGCCUGAAAUGAAGUGUUACUAUUGCAAGGGUAUGGGUCAGUGGAAGCACAAUUGCCCCAAGUAUCUGGCAGAUAAGAAGGCGGCCAAAGAAAAAUCAGGUAUGUUUGAUAUACAUGUUAUUGAUGUGUACUUAACCGGCUCUCGUAGUAGUGCCUGGGUAUUCGAUACCGGUUCUGUUGCUCAUAUUUGCAACUCGAAACAGGAACUGCGGAAUAGACGAAGGCUGGCGAAAGAUGAAGUGACGAUGCGCGUAGGAAAUGGUUCCAAGGUUGAUGCAAUCGCCGUCGGCACAGUUUCACUUCAGUUACCAUCAGGAUUAGUGAUGAACUUAAAUCAUUGUUAUUUAGUGCCUGCGUUGAGCAUGAACAUUAUAUCUGGAUCUUGUUUAUUGCGAGACGGUUACUCUUUUAAGUCAGAGAAUAAUGGUUGUUCUAUUUCUAUGAGUAACAUCUUUUAUGGUCAUGCACCUAAUGUGAGAGGAUUGUUCAUAUUGAAUCUUGAUAGCGAUACACAUAUACAUAACAUUGAGACCAAAAGAGUUAGAGUUAAUAACGAUAGCGCCAUAUUUUUGUGGCACUGCCGCUUAGGUCAUAUUGGUGUAAAGCGCAUGAAGAAACUCCAUGCUGAUGGACUUUUGGAGUCACUUGACUUUGAUUCACUUGACACAUGCGAACCAUGCCUCAUGGGCAAGAUGACUAAGACUCCGUUCUCCGGAACAAUGGAGCUUGCAAGUGACUUAUUGGAAAUCAUACAUACCGAUGCGUGUGGUCCGAUGAGCGUAGAGGCACGCGGCGGAUAUCGUUAUUUUCUCACCUUCACUGACGAUUUGAGUAGAUAUGGUUAUGUCUACUUGAUGAAACACAAGUCUGAAACAUUUGAAAAGUUCAAGCAAUUUCAGAGUGAAGUGGAAAAUCAUCGUAACAAGAAGAUCAAGUUCCUGCGGUCUCAUCGUGGGGGUGAAUAUCUGAGUUUUGAGUUUGGUACUCACUUAAGACAGUGUGGAAUUGUUUCACAGUUAACACCGCCUGGAACACCACAGCGUAAUGGUGUGUCCGAACGUCGUAAUCGUACUCUAUUAGAGAUGGUGCGAUCUAUGAUGUCUCUUACUGAUUUGCUGUUAUCGUUUUGGGGUUAUGCAUUAGAAACAGCUGCAUUCACUUUAAAUAGGGCACCAUCAAAAUCCGUUGAGACGACACCAUACGAACUAUGGUAUGGCAAAAGGCCAAAAUUGUUGUUUCUUAAAGUUUGGGGAUGUGAUGCUUAUGUCAAAAAGCUUCAGCCUGAAAAGCUGGAACCCAAAGCGGAAAAGUGCGUCUUCAUAGGUUACCGAAAAGAGACUGUUGGGUACACGUUCUAUCUCAAAUCCGAGGGCAAAGUGUUUGUUGCUAAAAACAGAGCUUUUCUCGAGAAGGAGUUUCUCUCGAGAGAAUUGAGUGGGAGGAAGAUAGAACUUGACGAGGUUGUCGAACCUCUCAUCCCUCUGGAUGGUGGCGCAGGGCAAGGGGAAACCUCUGUCGUUGCGACGCCGGUUGAGGAGGAAGUUAAUGAUGAUGAUCAUGAAACUCCGGUUCAAGUUUCUGUCGAACCACGCAGGUCGACGAGACCACGUGCUGCUCCAGAGUGGUACGGUAAUCCCGUCUUAUCAAUCAUGUGGUUAGACAACAAUGAACCUGCAAAUUAUGAAGAAGCAAUGGUGGGCCCAGAUUCCAACAAAUGGCUAGAAGCCAUGAAGUCCGAGACAGGAUCCAUGUAUGAGAACAAAGUGUAGACUUUGGAGGUACUACCUGAGGGCCGCAAGGCUAUUCAGAACAAAUGGAUCUUUAAGAGGAAGACGGACGCUGACGACAAUGUGACCGUUUAUAAAGCUCGACUUGUGGCAAAGGGUUUUUCACAAGUUCAAGGAGUUGACUACGAUGAGACAUUCUCACUCGUAGCGAUGCUUAAGUCCGUCAGAAUCAUGUUAGCAAUAGCUGCAUUUUUCGAUUAUGAAAUCUGGCAGAUGGAUGUCAAAACGGCGUUCCUUAACGGUUUCCUUAAGGAAGAGUUGUAUAUGAUACAACCCGAAGGUUUUGUCGAUCCUAAGAAUGCUAACAAGGUGUGCAAGCUCCAGCGAUCCAUUUAUGGACUGGUGCAAGCAUCUCGGAGUUGGAACAAACGUUUUGAUGAGGUGAUCAAAGCAUUUGGGUUUAUACAAGUGGUUGGAGAAUCUUGUAUUUACAAGAAAGUGAGUGGGAGCUCUGUGGCGUUUCUAAUAUUAUAUGUGGAUGACAUAUUGCUGAUUGGAAACAACGUGGAGUUUUUGGAGAGCAUAAAGGAUUACUUGAAUAAAAGUUUCUCUAUGAAGGACCUAGGAGAAGCUGCUUACAUUCUAGGCAUUAAGAUCUAUAGGGAUAGAUCAAAACGCCUGAUAGGAAUUUCACAAAGCACAUACCUUGAUAAAGUUUUGAAGAGGUUCAAAAUGGAACAGUCCAAGAAAGGGUUCUUGCCAGUUUUACAAGGUAAGACUUAGUGCCCAGCAACUGAUGAAGAUAGAGAGCAUAUGCGCUCCGUCCCCUAUGCUUCAGCCAUAGGUUCUAUCAUGUAUGCAAUGCUGUGCAGUAGACCGGAUGUUAGCCUGGCCAUAAGUAUGGCGGGUAGGUUCCAGAGUAAUCUAGGAGUGGAUCACUAGACAGCGGUCAAGAAUAUCCUGAAGUACCUGAAAAGGACUAAGGAGAUAUUUCUCGUGUAUGGAGGUGACGAAGAGCUCGCCGUAAAAGGUUACGUCGAUGCAAGCUUUGACACAGAUCCGGACGACUCUAAGUCGCAAACCGGAUACGUAUUUAUUCUUAAUGGGGGUGCGGUAAGCUGGUGCAGUUCUAAGCAAAGCGUCGUAGCAGAUUCUACAUGUGAAGAGGAAUACAUGGCUGCCUCGGAAGCGGCUAAGGAGGGUGUCUGGAUGAAGCAGUUCAUGACGGAUCUUGGAGUGGUGCCAAGCGCACUGAAUCCAAUAACCUUGUUCUGUGACAACACGGGUGCCAUUGCCUUAGCAAAGGAACCACGAUUUCACAAGAAGACCAGACACAUCAAACGACGCUUCAACCUCAUCCGCGACUACGUCGAGGGAGAGGACGUAAAUAUAUGCAAAGUGCACAUGGAUCUGAAUGUAGCAGACCCGCUGACUAAACCUCUUCCACGGCCAAAGCAUGAUCAACACCAGAACUGUAUGGGUGUUAGAUUUAUUACAAUGUAAUUCACAUGAUGAUGUGAGGGCUAGAUUAUUGACUCUAGUGCAAGUGGGAGACUGUUGGAAUUAUGCCCUAGAGGCAAUAAUAAAUAUAGUUAUUAUUAUAAUUCCUGUAUCAAGAUAAUCGUUUAUUAUCCAUGCUAUAAUUGUAUUGAAUGAAGACUCAUUUACAUAUGUGGAUACAUAGACAAAACACCGUCCCUAGCAAGCCUCUAGUUGGCUAGCGAGUUGAUCAAAGAUAGUCAGUGUCUUCUGAUUAUGAACAAAGUGUUGUUGCUUGAUAACUGGAUCACGUCAUUAGGAGAAUCACGUGAUGGACUAGACCCAAACUAAUAGACGUAGCAUGUUGAUCGUGUCAUUUUGUUGCUACUGUUUUCUGCGUGUCAAGUAUUUAUUCCUAUGACCAUGAGAUCAUAUAACUCACUGACACCGGAGGAAUGCUUUGUGUGUAUCAAACGUCGCAACGUAACUGGGUGACUAUAAAGAUGCUCUACAGGUAUCUCCGAAGGUGUUAGUUGAGUUAGUAUGGAUCAAGACUGGGAUUUGUCACUCCGUGUGACGGAGAGGUAUCUCGGGGCCCACUCGGUAAUACAACAUCACACACAAGCCUUGCAAGCAAUGUAACUUAGUGUAAGUUGCGGGAUCUUGUAUUACGGAACGAGUAAAGAGACUUGCCGGUAAACGAGAUUGAAAUAGGUAUACGGAUACNNNNNNNNNNNNNNNNNNNNNNNNNNNNNNNNNNNNNNNNNNNNNNNNNNNNNNNNNNNNNNNNNNNNNNNNNNNNNNNNNNNNNNNNNNNNNNNNNNNNUGUCCCACCAGCCCACUAAGGGCUGGUGUGCCACCCUCAAGGCCUAUGGGCUUCCCCAGGGUGGGUUCCCCCCGCCCCCCCCGGUGAACUCCCGGAACCCAUUCGUCAUUACCGGUACAUUCCCGGUAACUCCGAAAACCUUCCGGUAAUCAAAUGAGGUCAUCCUAUAUAUCAAUCUUCGUUUCCGGACCAUUCCGGAAACCCUCUUGACGUCCGUGAUCUCAUCCGGGACUCAGAACAACAUUCGGUAACCAACCAUAUAACUCAAAUACGCAUAAAACAACGUCGAACCUUAAGUGUGCAGACCCUGCGGGUUCGAGAACUAUGUAGACAUGACCCGAGAGACUCCUCGGUCAAUAUCCAAUAGCGGGACCUGGAUGCCCAUAUUGGAUCCUACAUAUUCUACGGAGAUCUUAUCGUUUGAACCUCAGUGCCAAGGAUUCAUAUAAUCCCGUAUGUCAUUCCCUUUGUCCUUCGGUAUGUUACUUGCCCGAGAUUCGAUCGUCAGUAUCCGUAUACCUAUUUCAAUCUCGUUUACCGGCAAGUCUCUUUACUCGUUCCGUAAUACAAGAUCCCGCAACUUACACUAAGUUACAUUGCUUGCAAGGCUUGUGUGUGAUGUUGUAUUACCGAGUGGGCCCCGAGAUACCUCUCCGUCACACGGAGUGACAAAUCCCAGUCUUGAUCCAUACUAACUCAACUAACACCUUCGGAGAUACCUGUAGAGCAUCUUUAUAGUCACCCAGUUACGUUGCGACGUUUGAUACACACAAAGCAUUCCUCCGGUGUCAGUGAGUUAUAUGAUCUCAUGGUCAUAGGAAUAAAUACUUGACACGCAGAAAACAGUAGCAACAAAAUGACACGAUCAACAUGCUACGUCUAUUAGUUUGGGUCUAGUCCAUCACGUGAUUCUCCUAAUGACGUGAUCCAGUUAUCAAGCAACACACUUNNNNNNNNNNNNNNNNNNNNNNNNNNNNNNNNNNNNNNNNNNNNNNNNNNNNNNNNNNNNNNNNNNNNNNNNNNNNNNNNNNNNNNNNNNNNNNNNNNNNGAUCUGAACAUUCACGUCACAUAAGAGGAAUUACAAAGGACACCUAUGCUAGGUAGCAUGAAAGCAUCAAAAAUUGAUUCUUAUCACUUCCCUACUCGAGGACGUUCAGGAGUUAAGCUUGGGGAUGCUUGAUAUGUCUCAAAUGUAUCUAUAAUUUUUGAUGGUUUCACGAUGUUAUCCUCUCUUCUUUGGUUGUUUUAUGUACCUUUUAUAUCUUUUUUGGGACUAACUUAUUAAUUCAGUGCCAAGUGCCAGUUCCUGUUUUUUCCGUGUUUUUGACUCUUUUCAGGUCUGAUUUUGGAACGGAGUCCAAACGGAAGAAAACCCCCGAAAUGAUUUUUUUCCCGAACGGAAGAAGAUCAGGGGGCCUUUGGGACUGGCCAGGUGGGCUCCAGGGAGCCCACAAGCCCCCACUCCGCCACCAGGGGGAGGCGGCGGUGGGCAGGCUUGUGGCCUCCCUGGCCGCCCCCUGACCUAGGUCUUUGGCCUAUAAAUUCCCAAAUAUUCCGCAAAACAUCAGGGGAGCCUCGAAAAUACUUUUCCACCGCCGCAAGCUUCCGUUUCCGCGAGAUCUCAUCUGGAGACCCUUCUCGGCGCCCUGCCGGAGGGGACUUUAGAGUUGGAGGGCUUCUUCAUCAUCAUCAUCGCCCCUCCAAUGACUCGUGAGUAGUUCACUUCGGACCUACGGGUCCGUAGUUAGUAGCUAGAUGGCUUCUUCUCUCUCUUGGAUCUUCAAUACAAAGUUCUCCAUGAUCUUCAUGGAGAUCUAUCCGAUGUAAUCUUCUUUGGCGGUGUGUUUGUCGAGAUCCGAUGAAUUGUGGAUUUGUGAUCAUAUUAUCUAUGAUAUAUAUUUGAGUCUUUGCCGAUUUCUUAUAUGCAUGAUUUGAUAUCCUUGUAAGUCUCUCCUUGUCUUGGGUUUUGUUUGGCCAACUAGAUCUAUGAUUCUUGCAAUGGGAGAAGUGCUUGGUUUUGGGUUCUGCCAUGUGGUGACCUUUCCCAGAGACAGUAGGGGCAGCAAGGCACACAUCAAGUAGUUGCCAUCNNNNNNNNNNNNNNNNNNNNNNNNNNNNNNNNNNNNNNNNNNNNNNNNNNNNNNNNNNNNNNNNNNNNNNNNNNNNNNNNNNNNNNNNNNNNNNNNNNNNACCUAUCAUGGUGAUGUCCAUCUACGAGAGGGGAUGAGUGAUCUACGUACCCUCGUAGACCGUACAGCAGAAGCGUUAGAGAACGCGGUUGAUGUAGUGGAACAUCCUCACGUCCCUCGAUCCGCCCCGCGAACAAUCCCGCGAUCAGUCCCACGAUCUAGUACCGAACGGACGGCACCUCCGCGUUCAGCACACGUACAGCUCGACGAUGAUCUCGGCCUUCUUGAUCCAGCAAGAGAGACGGAGAGGUAGAAGAGUUCUCCGGCAGCGUGACGGUGCUCCGGAGGUUGGUGAUGAUCUUGUCUCAGCAGGGCUCCGCCCGAGCUCCGCAGAAACGCGAUCUAGAGGAAAAACCGUGGAGGUAUGUGGUCGGGCUGCCGUGGCAAAAGUUGUCUCAAAUCAGCCCUAAUACCUUAGUAUAUAUAGGAGGGAGGGGGAGGGAAGAGGCAGCCUCAAACCCUCAAGGUUUGGCCGAAAUUGGAGGUGGAGGAGUCCUACUCCAAUCCUACUUGGAGCAGGAUUCCACCUUCCCACUUGGAAACUCUUUCCACCUUGUGUUUUUUCCUUCUCAAACCUUAUGGGCCUUAGUGGGAACUUAUUCUAGCCCACUAGGGGCUGGUUUAUCUCUUCCCAUAGCCCAUGAGACCCCUUGGGGCGUGACACCCCUCCCGAUGGUCCCCGGCACCCCUCCCGGCACUCCCGGUACACUACCGAUGAGCCCGAAACUUUUCCGGUGACCAAAACAGGACUUCCUAUAUAUCAAUCUUUACCUCCGGACCAUUCCGGAGCUCCUCGUGACGUCCUGGAUCUCAUCCGGGACUCCGAACAACAUUCGGUAACCAACCAUAUAACUCAAAUACGCAUAAAACAACAUCGAACCUUAAGUGUGCAGACCCUGCGGGUUCGAGAACUAUGUAGACAUGACCCGAGAGACUCCUCGGUCAAUAUCCAAUAGCGGGACCUGGAUGCCCAUAUUGGAUCCUACAUAUUCUACGAAGAUCUUAUCGUUUGAACCUCAGUGCCAAGGAUUCAUAUAAUCCCGUAUGUCAUUCCCUUUGUCCUUCGGUAUGUUACUUGCCCGAGAUUCGAUCGUCAGUAUCCGCAUACCUAUUUCAAUCUCGUUUACCGGCAAGUCUCUUUACUCGUUCCGUAAUACAAGAUCCCGUAACUUACACUAAGUCACAUUGCUUGCAAGGCUUGUGUGUGAUGUUGUAUUACCGAGUGGGCCCCGAGAUACCUCUCCGUCACACGGAGUGACAAAUCCCAGUCUCGAUCCAUACUAACUUAACGAACACCUUCGGAGAUACCUGUAGAGCAUCUUUAUAGUCACCCAGUUACGUUGCGACGUUUGAUACACACAAAGUAUUCCUCCGGUGUUAGUAAGUUAUAUGAUCUCAUGGUCAUAGGAAUAAAUACUUGACACGCAGAAAACAAUAGCAACAAAAUGACACGAUCAACAUGCUACGUCUAUUAGUUUGGGUCUAGUCCAUCACAUGAUUCUCCUAAUGAUGUGAUCCCGUUAUCAAGUGACAACACUUGCCUAUGGCCAGGAAACCUUGACCAUCUUUGAUCAACAAGCUAGUCAACUAGAGGCUUACUAGGGACAGUGUUUUGUCUAUGUAUCCACACAAGUAUUGUGUUUCCAAUCAAUACAAUUAUAGCAUGGAUAAUAAACGAUUAUCAUGAACAAAGAAAUAUAAUAAUAACUAAUUAUUAUUGCCUCUANNNNNNNNNNNNNNNNNNNNNNNNNNNNNNNNNNNNNNNNNNNNNNNNNNNNNNNNNNNNNNNNNNNNNNNNNNNNNNNNNNNNNNNNNNNNNNNNNNNNACCUAUCAUGGUGAUGUCCAUCUACGAGAGGGGAUGAGUGAUCUACGUACCCUCGUAGACCGUACAGCAGAAGCGUUAGAGAACGCGGUUGAUGUAGUGGAACGUCCUCACGUCCCUCGAUCCGCCCCGCGAACAAUCCCGCGAUCAGUCCCACGAUCUAGUACCGAACGGACGGCACCUCCGCGUUCAGCACACGUACAGCUCGACGAUGAUCUCGGCCUUCUUGAUCCAGCAAGAGAUACGGAGAGGUAGAAGAGUUCUCCGGCAGCGUGACGGUGCUCCGGAGGUUGGUGAUGAUCUUGUCUCAGCAGGGCUCCGCCCGAGCUCCGCAGAAACGCGAUCUAGAGAAAAAACCGUGGAGGUAUGUGGUCGGGCUGCCGUGGCAAAAGUUGUCUCAAAUCAGCCCUAAUACCUUAGUAUAUAUAAGAGGGAGGGGGAGGGAAGAGGCAGCCUCAAACCCUCAAGGUUUGGCCGAAAUUGGAGGUGGAGGAGUCCUACUCCAAUCCUACUUGGAGCAGGAUUCCACCUUCCCACUUGGAAACUCUUUCCACCUUGUGUUUUUCCUUCUCAAACCUUAUGGGCCUUAGUGGGAACUUAUUCUAGCCCACUAGGGGCUGGUUUAUCUCUUCCCAUAGCCCAUGAGACCCCUUGGGGCGUGACACCCCUCCCGAUGGUCCCCGGCACCCCUCCCGGCACUCCCGGUACACUGCCGAUGAGCCCGAAACUUUUCCGGUGACCAAAACAGGACUUCCUAUAUAUCAAUCUUUACCUCCGGACCAUUCCGGAGCUCCUCGUGACGUCCUGGAUCUAAUCUGGGACUCCGAACAACAUUCGGUAACCAACCAUAUAACUCAAAUACGCAUAAAACAACAUCGAACCUUAAGUGUGCAGACCCUGCGGGUUCGAGAACUAUGUAGACAUGACCCGAGAGACUCCUCGGUCAAUAUCCAAUAGCGGGACCUGGAUGCCCAUAUUGGAUCCUACAUAUUCUACGAAGAUCUUAUCGUUUGAACCUCAGUGCCAAGGAUUCAUAUAAUCCCGUAUGUCAUUCCCUUUGUCCUUCGGUAUGUUACUUGCCCGAGAUUCGAUCGUCAGUAUCCGCAUACCUAUUUCAAUCUCGUUUACCGGCAAGUCUCUUUACUCGUUCCGUAAUACAAGAUCCCGUAACUUACACUAAGUCACAUUGCUUGCAAGGCUUGUGUGUGAUGUUGUAUUACCGAGUGGGCCCCGAGAUACCUCUCCGUCACACAGAGUGACAAAUCCCAGUCUCGAUCCAUACUAACUUAAUGAACACCUUCGGAGAUACCUGUAGAGCAUCUUUAUAGUCACCCAGUUACGUUGCGACGUUUGAUACACACAAAGUAUUCCUCCGGUGUUAGUAAGUUAUAUGAUCUCAUGGUCAUAGGAAUAAAUACUUGACACGCAGAAAACAAUAGCAACAAAAUGACACGAUCAACAUGCUACGUCUAUUAGUUUGGGUCUAGUCCAUCACAUGAUUCUCCUAAUGAUGUGAUCCCGUUAUCAAGUGACAACACUUGCCUAUGGCCAGGAAACCUUGACCAUCUUUGAUCAACAAGCUAGUCAACUAGAGGCUUACUAGGGACAGUGUUUUGUCUAUGUAUCCACACAAGUAUUGUGUUUCCAAUCAAUACAAUUAUAGCAUGGAUAAUAAACGAUUAUCAUGAACAAAGAAAUAUAAUAAUAACUAAUUAUUAUUGCCUCUANNNNNNNNNNNNNNNNNNNNNNNNNNNNNNNNNNNNNNNNNNNNNNNNNNNNNNNNNNNNNNNNNNNNNNNNNNNNNNNNNNNNNNNNNNNNNNNNNNNNCUUAUACUACUUUGCUGCCAUCAACAGAUCAUUUUUGACACCGUUAUUAUCAUACUACUUUGCCAUCAACAGAUCAUUUUUGACACCGUUGUUAUCAUACUACUUUGCUGCUGAUACUUUGCUGCUGAUACUUUGCUUGCAGAUACUAAUCUUUCAGGUGUGGUUGAAUCUGAUACAUUCAGCUGCUAAUACUCGAGAAUAUUCUCUCACCUCCUGCGUGGCGAAUCAACAAAUUUGGGUCGAAUACUCUACCCUCGAAAACUCUCGCGAACCCACGCGCUGGUGGGCCAUUGCAAGACAAUUGCUAAUUGUUGAGCAACUGGGAGUGCUAGCAGCAUUCUUCUGGCGUCGUUGCUGGAGAAGGUCUGUUGUCACAGUAGCAGUUUGCUAACAGAAACAAUUGCUUGACUUGUCAUCGGGGUUGUGCAUGAUUUAGACACUUUGUGUGGAGAAGAUGGAGCAUAGCCAGACCAUAUGAUUUUGUAGGGAUAACUUUCUAAGACCAUGUUAUUUAGAAAGGACGCAAUUGCAUUGUUAGUAUGCUUGAAGUAUUACUAUUUUUAUGUCAAUAUUAGACUUUUGUUUUGAAUCUUAUGGAUCUAAAUAUUCAUGCCACAAUAAAUAAUAUUACAUGGAUAAAUUUGUUAGGUAGCAUUCCACAUCAAAAAUUCUAUUAUUAUCAUUUACCUACUCGAGGACGAGCAUGAAUUAAGCUUGGGGAUGCUUGAUACGUCUCCAAGGUAUCUAUAAUUUUUUAUUGUUCCAUGCUAUUAUAUUAUCUGUUUCAGAUGUUUUAUAUGCAAUAAUAUGAUAUUUUAUAUUAUUUUUGGGACUAACCUAUUAAUCUAGAGCCUAGUGCCAGUUUCUGUUUUUUUUUCAUGUUUUUGUGUGAAUAUUAAACAGAGUCCAAACGGAAUAAAAUCUUCGGGAUGAUUUUUCUUGGACCAGAAGCAUCAUAGAAAACUUGGAGAUGAAGGUAGGAGAGCCGCCGUAUGGCGACAAGCCACAGGGGCGCGCCAUAGGGGGGGCCAAGCAUGUGGACCCAUGGCAACCCUCCUAACCCUAUUCUUCGGCCUAUAGAUUCCCAAAUAUUCCCUGGAUACCAAAGAGAGCCACGAAAAUACUUUUCCGCCGCCGGAAGCCUCUAUUCCCAUGAGAUCCAAUCUUGGAGCCUUUUCAGGUAAUCUGUUGGAGGGGGAAUCGAUCAUAGAGGGCAUCUACAUCAACUCCAUUGCCCCUCCGAUGAUGCAUGAGUAGUACACCACGGACCUUCAAGUCGAUAGCUAGUAGCUAGAUGGCUUCCUCUCUCUUUGUUCUUCAAUACCAUGUUCUUCAUGGAGAUCUAUCCGAUGUAAUACUCUUCCGGUGUGUUUGUCGAGAUCUGAUGAGUUGUGGUUUUAUGUUCAGAUUAUCUAUGAAUAUUAUUUGAGUCUUCUCUGAAUUCUUAUAUGCAUGAUUUCGUAUCGUUGCUAGUCUCUUCGAGUUAUUGGUUUGGUUUGGCCAACUAGAUUGGUAAUUCUUGCAAUGUGAGAAGUGCUUAGUUUUGGGUUCAAUCUUGCAGUGACCUCACCAGUGACAAAGUAGGGGUAGCGAGGCAUGUAUUUUUAUUGUUUCCAUCGAGGAUAAAAAGAUGGGGUUUUCAUCAUAUUGCUUUAGUUUAUCCCUCUACAUCAUGUCAUCUUACCUAAUGCGUUACUAUGUUCCUCAUGAACUUAAUACUCUUGAUGCACGCAGGAGUCGGUCGAUGUGUGGAGUAAUAGUAGUAGAUGUAGAAUCAUUUUGGUCUACUUGACACGGACGUGAUGCCUAUAUGCAUAAUCAUUGCCUUGGAUAUCUUUAUAAUUAUUCACUUUUCUAUCAAUUGCUCGACAGUAAUUUGUUCACCCAUCGUAUUAUUUUUCUUCAUGAGAGAAGCCUCUAGUGAAACCUAUGGCCCCCGGGUCUAUUUUCCAUAUUAUACUUUCAAAUCUAUAAACCAAAACUACCAAAAAUAUCUUGUUGCAAUUUAUUUACUUUUGUUUUACUUUUCGUUUCAGCAAUAUUUUAUAUUUAUCUCUAACAGAUCUCAUCCUUGCAAGUAAACGUGAAGGGAUUGACAACCCCUUUUUAGCGUUGGUGCAAGCGUUCGAUUGUUUGUGUAGGUGCAAAGACUAGGGCCUUGCUUGUUCCUCCUACUAGAUUGAUACCUUGGUUCUCAACAAACUAAGGGAAAUACUUAUCUACUUUGCUGCACCACCCUUUCCUCUUCAAGGGAAAACCAACGCAAGCUGAAGAAUUAGCAGUACAGUCUCCAUACCGGAUGUUCGGCCUAUGACUCAGAUGUGCAUCCAGUGCCAACCACUUAUUCUAUAAUUAGGUGCCAUAAUCUCACUACCACUAUAUAUAGCCUUCUUAUACAUCAAGAUAAGGUUGACCAUUCACUUUGAGCUAACCCUAGAACACAUAUUUCUCUCUCUCACAUCCUCAUACACCAAAUCCAAGAUCCCAGAGGCAUUUGAGAGUACUUGUUAGAAGUGCUCCAAUCAAGUGACAUAUCCACUCCUUCCCCUUCUCUUGACCAAAGGAAUUUGUGAUUUGAGCAAGUCUUCAGAUUUUCCCCUUCGUUCUUGUUACUCUUGGAGGUUGUAGACUCCUAGGUGGUUGCAGUUCUUCAGUGAGGAAUCAACCAUUGUGAUUAUCGUCAGAAAGUUCGUGAGGGUUUGCAGACCACCCCAAUGUCUACUACUAGUGGUUGAUAAAUUCCUUUGUGGUGUUGUCUAAAGGAGAGAAUAUGGUGAGCCUUCGUGACAUUGGUGGGUGCCUUUAUGGUAACAUCCACCUCUCUAAACGUUGAAGUAGAUUCCCUUCAAGGAGUGAAUAUUAGCAUACACCCUCGUCUCUCGGAGUUGCGGUUAUUCCUAACCUUAACUUUCUACUUGUUGUUACUUGUUUCUUGCACUUACUUGUAUUACAUUAUUCUUACCUAUGUCUUUACUUUUUGCUUUGUUAAUCUACUUUGCACCGUUAUCAUCUUAGCAAUUGUUAGGGUCACUUUCAUAUUCCCCAAUAUUGCCUAAAAUUGCUAAGUAACAAAUAAAAUUUGGAAUUAUACCUAUUCACCCUCCUCUAGGUCCAUCUCAAUCCUUUCACAACUCAUUGUAGGAUAAGUUCAUUUUUAUCAUUAGGAACAAUGGUAAUGCCACAUUUCUUAGGGACACAAUGAACAUGACUUAUACAUCUACUAUCAACUAUAGAAUAAAUUAUAACUGCCACUAGGAGCUUUAAUAUUUCAGUUCUUACCACAUUGUUCAUUUCAGGAUUCAAGCAACAUUGACGAUCGAUGACUGCUUUAGACUUGGGCUCCAAAUUAAUUUUGUGUUGACACAUAAAUCAUGAGUAUUUCCAAUUACAGCAGGAUGUUUCUUCAAAGUUUUCAAUAAACUCUUUUUUUGGUGUACUCAAGGGUUAGCAUUGAUAAUAAUAGAAUAUAUUUUCUUUUCAUCCAUAGAAGCAUAUUUCAAAGUAUUUGCGCUUUUCUUUAGUUCGAACACAUGAUCACUCGUAGGUGGACGAGGAUCUCCAAAAAUUUCAGCAGGAAAAUUAUGCUUAAGGAUAGGUUGUUGCCUAAAAAAUAUUUCAUCUAUUUCAUCGCUUUCAUUCAUAUGCAUAUCAUUUUCAUGAUCUAACAAAUAUUGCUCUAAUGGAUUGUAGGAGGCACAACUAUAGAAGCAAGACCAAUAAUAUCAUCUUUAUUAGGUAAAUCUUUAUCAUGAGGUUGUCACAUGAACUUAGAUAAAUUAAAUUCAUGAGAUACAUCAUCAAACUUCACCUUUACCUUUUCCUUAACACAAUAAUUUCUACAUUAACCGUGUUCAAGAAGGGUCUACCAAAUAUGGCGGGUCAAAAAUUAUCUUGUUGUGAACCAAGUACUAGGAAAUUAGUAGGGUAUUUAAUGUUACCACACAAGGCUUCAACAUCUCUAACAAUCCCAAGCAGUGAAAUGGUAUCCUUAUUAGCAAACUUAAUAGUAGUAUCAAUCUCCUCUAUGUGAGGAGGUUAAAUAUCAUGCAUGACUUCUUGAUAGAGAGAAAGGAAUACCACUUAUACUAGCACUCAUGUCACAUAAACAAUGAUAGCAAUGAUAUCCAAUCUUAACAGAAACAACAUGCAUGCCAACAACUUUCUUAUUCUUAUGUACCAUAUCUCGUUCACUUCUAAUAGCUUUAGCUAUUCUAACAUCUUCGUCACAGAAAUAUAUAACAUGCCCCUAAAUAUUAUUAACCAAGAAAUUUUUACCAUAUAAAUAGGACGUUAUAUUUUAAUUUGGUCAAAGGUUUUAGAUUCUUUAACAUUACUAUUAUGAAAAGGGGGCAGGGUAGUCCAGGACCAAGGGGUCCUCGGGUUGCCGAUCUAUCUCUAAUGGGCCACUUCGGGAAGCCGAUGACAUAUGCGAGGAUGAUUCCACAAGACUUGGUGAUCAAGACAAGGACUCCACCAACGCGUCCGACUAGGACCCUUGUUAUCCUAGUUCUUCGGUGCAUUAUAUAAGCCGAUGCUAGGCUAGUCAAUAGAUCAUUAUAAUGAUACGUCAGCAGAACCAUCAUCUAGGGUUUAGUCCAACAGACCUCGUGGUAGAUCGAGUCUGUAACCAUCAUACACUCAUGAAUAUAAUCGAGCAUGACACAGGGGUUUACCUCUUUGAGAGGGCCCGAACAUGGGAAAAUGUUGUCCCCAUGUUUCGUGUUACCCACUGAUCCAAGAUUCACAACUCGGGACCCCCUAGUCGAAAUCCAAAAGUUUUGACACCGACAUUGGUUCUUUGUAAAUAUAAGCAGUACACACAACAAUAUUAGCAGUGUAAGCGAGUAUUUCAGUAUUGUAAAUUAUAUGUUCUUCAAAAAUACGUGUGAUAGGUGGAUGUAAUUUAAACAAUUUCUAUUUAGGAAGAUCAACAUGAACAACAAGAGAUUCAUAGAAUGUAGCACUAUCUCACAAUCAAGUCCAUGUUUUGCACAAAGCUUAACAAAAAUAUUUGUUUCUAAAAGAGACUUAACACAAUCAUAUUAAAGAUUUAUAAUUGACUCAUUACCUUUGUCGACCUCUCGUUCUUCAAAUUUGUGUUUAAUUCCUUCAAUAAUAUAUUACUUGAAUUCAAUACUUCCUUGUGAGAAACAACCACCAAAAAAAGAAUCAAGUAUUGCUCUAUCAUUACGAGAAAGACAAGCAUAAAAGUUUUCAAUAAUCAUAUUGCAUCAUUUCCUUAAGCCUCACCCAAGGUUAUAUAUAUAUAUAUUCUCAUUACAUGAACCAAGUGCAUAUGAUAAAUUUCUGGUGGAAUUCCAGCUUCGUUCGGUUCGAGUCCCAUGAAUUGGUAUCAUCCAAUAGCCUAUACCAUGUAAAUGGUAGUCCCUUUAAAUAUCAAGGGAAUGAUUUCUCUUAACCUCAUCCAUUAAUAAACCUACAAGGUUAAACAAACCACAAAGUUCAUCCAUAUAGAUUAAAUGCAUAUAAGAAUGUGUUGUUCUAUCGCCUGUAUAGGGACUGUCAUGCAAUUUUUCCAUAAUAUAAAAACGGAUGGCAUAAUAGAAAGUUAGUAGGAUGAGGAACAAUUUUUACCGCAUCUUGUCGAGGUGAAGAUACCUGUAUAAACCUCUCAAAGGAUUGUCUUCCAUACUAACAAGUGAAGCUAAAUUUCAGCACGUAAUAUAAAUAUUUACUUACCAAAUUCCAAUUACCAAGAGUGCUUCACUCCCCGGCAACGACAUGAGAAAAAAGUCUUAAUGACCCACAAGUAUUGGGGAUAGACCAUCUUACUUUCGAUAAGUAAGACUACGAAACCAAUGAGGAGCAAAAGGAAUCACUAAGUAUUUUCCAGCAAGGUAUUCUCUCCAAGUGUUGCUAAGUAGUUAUUAUAGAUAGUUUGAUGGCAAUAUAAUUCGUAGAAAGUAACAACUAACAAAAUUAACAAGGUGCAAAAAGUUGGCCCAAUCCUUUCAUUCCGAAGAACAAGCCGGAAGUACUUCUUAUAAUGAUUAAAUCGUUCGCGAGGACACAUGAGAAUAUUGUGUAGUUAGUUUUACCAUGAUUCAUUGAAUCGUGUUCAUUGCUUUGAUAAGUUAUUAUGUGGGUAGGCCGGUGCUAAGGUGUUGUUCUUGCUUGAACAAAAAACCUACUUAUGAUUACACACUCUCGCAAGCAUCUGCAACUAUAAGAGAAGAAUUAAGAUAAAUCUAAUCAUAGCAUCACACAUAUGGACCCAAACAACCCCUUACAAAAUAGCUCAUAAACUAGGGUUUAGGCUCCUUUCAGUCCCGCAUCCAUCAUCUACUAAAAAAUCCCAUAAUGUCUUCCCUAGGCCCAAAUAUGGUAAUGUGUCAUGUAGUCAAUGUUCACAUAACACUACUAGAGGAAGAACACCACAAGAGAUCAUCAAAACAUUAAACAGAAACCAACUUCACAUGAUUACUUAUAACAAGACUUCUCCCAUAUCCUCAAGAACAAAUGGAACUACUCACAAAUCAUGGAGGAUAAAUAUAUGAUAAACAAUCUAAACAUAUAAUCUUUCACGAAAUAAACAAACUAGCAUCAACUACAAAAUGUAAUCAAUACUAUUAUAACACAAGUUUGGGACAAAGAUUGGAUGAAGAGAUGAAUUAGGGUUUGUAGAUGAGAUGGUGCUGGUGAGAUGUUGAUGGGGAUGAGUAUUUGCAUGAUAAGGGGAACGUUGGUGAUGACAAUAGCUUCGAUUUCCCCAUCCUUUGAGGAAAGUUUCCCAAGCGGAAUCGCUCCAUCGGACAGCUACACUGCUCCUACCCAGGUCCAGCUUUGAGACGGUGGCGCUUUGUCCCAGAAGUCUCUUAUGAUUUUUUUCUAUGGAAAAUGACAUCAUAUAGUGAAAGAUGGGCAUUAGUGGACCCCCGGGGCACCCACAAGCUCACAUGGCGCGCCCCACGGGGAUGGUCACACCACCCGAGCUUGUGGGCCCGUGGAGGCUCCUUUGUCGUAUAUUCUUCUUCCAGUUUUUUAAAAUACUACAAAUAAAUAAUCGCAAGUUUUUAGGUCAUUGGGAGCUCCGGCGAAUAUGCAUCUGUUUUGUAGAUCUUUUUAGGUCUGGAAUACCAGCUGCCAUCAAUCUCCCUCAUGUGAUAGAACUUGCAAUUUAAGAGAAAACGACAUUAGGGUUGCAUCAAAAAGUGAAAUAUAACUCUAAAACUUAUAAAUAACAGUAAAAAAACAUGAUGCAAAAUGAACGUAUCAUGUACCACUAGGUGAAGACCCUAGCAAGACCGACAAAAUUGGCAGGCAACUUUCCGCCAAAUAGGUAAGCAUGCAUGCUACCUUCCUUCGAAAAGACUCUCACAGUUUUGUGUAGCCGUGAGAUAUUCCCACGGUACCCACGAAGGUGAUUGAACAACAAUUGUCCGUGUUCCCAAGUGCAUGACCCGUCCGAUAGAAGGCAUGUCGGCACACGCUAGGAUUUCAUCUGAGGGGGGUUGAAGCGUUCCUAAAUACCCGCUUCACGAGGGAGGUGAUCCACCUUGAUUAAUUGGCCAACCCCGUCGUUCUCGUCCUGAAGGACAACAAGAAAGAGACGAAAACCAUAGUUGCCAUGUGUGAUUGAUUAGUUGCCAUAUAUGCACAAUUGUAGUUGCCAUGCAUCACCGUACGAGCGUUGGGUGGGCGAAGAGUAGUUCACCCACAUGACAACGUGAGAAGUCAUGCGUUAAUGGACUGCAUGGUUUCCGUGUGGACGAGGACCGGUUCACCCACACUCGCGAAGCUGGCAACCACACGUUGCGGGUCGUGCAAGGCCGUUUGGAACCCCACACACACCACGCUAUGCCUAUGUGGCACUAAAUUUCCAUUAGAUCCCUGCAAGAUUCGUGCAAUUUAGAACCAACUAUGAUUAGGGCGUGUAAACCAAGUGUUGAAAUGCCACACGUGUGGGCCUUAUCAUUUGGGUUUUGCUUGCUUUGGACGGGAGAAUAAGGACAACUCUAAAGCACAAUCCCAAAUAGUCUGGCCUUGUCCAUUUGGGGGUAAACGGACAGAAAAGGCCGCCCAACUCGCGGGAGCAAAGUGACCAAUGUUCGUUUUUGGUCUGCUUUUGACCCGUUCUCGUCCCAACUUUGGGCCGCAAUUGUGGCCGAACGGACAUGUGCGGCCGCCGCAUGGCGCGUGCCCAUGUCCUUCCUUGGCCCGCUAGUUGGGGACACAUGCGACACUUUUUCUAUUCCACCCCUUCCAACUUCACCCCACCCCAUUUCCCUCUCAUCCCACGCGUCAUCGUCACCAUUUUUAUUGGUCGUCCGAUGUCCAGCACGGCCUAUGAGCCCACCCCUUCCCUUGUCAUAGCCCCCUUUCCUCGAUGUCCCGAGCAGUCCAACCUUGGACGCUAGAUUUCACUGCAUUUGGUGACCGUAUUAGGAGCAGAUCAGGCCGGAUUGUAGUUCACACCGGCUGUCGGUGGUCGCAUAGUGCCAUGGACUGGCCAGAUACCAGUCCGCAUAGUCCCGGCAACGCCCCGAGGGUGGAUGCAGGUACUGACUCUGCCUCUAGCUGCUCAGAUCUACCUCGUCGUUGGUUUGCCGGAAAUACACCAACGACCGUCGUCCGGGCUCGGUGCUGACCCAAAUGCUUGUCGGCGCACCGAUGCCGCUCAUGAAGUGCGAAGACUGUCCACGGAAGGUCAUGCGCCGUGUGUCUACAACGCCGAAACAUGUCAGAUGGGUGUUUAUCAAGUGCAAAAAUGAUGGGGUAUGUGCUAGUUUAGCUUUGGUUGUGUUCCCGGAGUGUGUUCGUUUUUCUUACACUCAAAUAUUUAUUGUGUAAGAUGGAUGCAACUUUUGUUUUUGGAAAAAGAAUACAUUGAUAUACUGAAAGCGCAUAAUUUAAUAGAUGUUCGUGCACUUCUUGCUAGAGUACAUGCUAGAUAUGAGACUAGAUGUGAAUAAGGAAGCAUGCAAGAUCGGGACUCCGUAGAUCAACAAUUAACGCAUUGAGAAGGCACUAAUCCAACUUAUGAAAGCAGUUGUGGAAGUUGGAUAUCUUCUAAAAUUGAUUCUUAUAGUUCUCGUUUCCUUUGUUGUGUUAUUCUAAUCAAAAUUUGGUGAUGUAUUCCAAUGUAUCAAAGAAUCGAUGAUAAAAAUAAUAAAAAAUGUGUUGCAAAAAUUGUAUACGGACGAGAUGGAUUUGAAAUUCAGCCGCACAUUAGACACACCACCGCCGCAUUCAUAAAUUCAGACAGACGCGGUUUUAUUGUCACGCCUAAACGGACAAAAGACGGACAAAACACAUGUUGGUUUGAAGACUUGGUCGGAGUUGUCCUAAGGAGGGAUUUUUCAUAGGUAUCGAUCGGUGAAGUGAAGCAUUGGAAGGGACUAUUCAGUCCAUGAGGACCACCACGUCCCGAUUCCAUGCCCCAACUAAUUAAACAGGAGAACGACGGCUAGGGACUGGCAAAGCCAGGUUUAGAGUAAUGGAUGGGUGUACAGAGAUGAAGAUUAUUGUUAUCUUGGUAAAUGCUUUCGUUAAGCAUUCAGCUACACAGGCUUACGCUGAGAUCCAAAAUUACCUUGUGCACAAGGGAAGAAUCUAUAGAACUUCUUUCAGGUCCAAGAAAAUUUUAUAUACAGUUCAAAAAAAAAUACCGUUCAUAAAAAAAGUCCAGGAAGAUUAACCAGCACUAGGGUUUUUGCCACCAACUACACCAACCAGUCGCUUGUCCCAAUCGAGUGGAUCAACUCGCCUAACCUGCACGCAGUCUAUGCAUGGACCCGGUAGCUUUCGUGCCUCGGUUACUUUGUACCCACAGCUCCCAGAAGGAACACGCGCCUUGCCCUCGGAAAUGUGUAACAAGUCGCAACUCAAAGUCAAGACGAUCUGCAAUGGAAAUAAGCCGAUGGACGUACAUGAUCACAGCAAACGUCUUUCCCGCCUUUUCCACGGCAAUCUCGGAGUUGUUAGGAGAACGAAAGCAAACCUGCUGUGCCUGGUUGCAAGCAAUUGGAUAGAGCUAGGAAAGCUGCGCUCCACCAUCUUUUGACCCCGACGGCUCGACGUAGGACCGACCUUCGCCUCGCACGAGCAACUGCGGAAGCCUCGGUCAGCUCCAUCCGACUCUCAUCCUCGUCACCACCAAGAGCCUAUGCUAACUCCGGCACCAACACCCCUUAUAAAUACCACGCGCUUCCCCCUUCAAUGCCAAGUCAAGCAACCAAAUCCAAACCAAGCCAAGCAAGGAGCAGGGAGCGCUGCCAAGCAAGCUUACCAAUACUGUCUCCUCCGCCUGCGUCCACCGAUCACUUCUUUUCUUUCUCCCACCGAUGGCGGCCGUGAACAAGUCCGUCGACCGGGUGGCGCAGCGCCUGGUGGCACCGGCCGAACCCACGCCUGUCGGCCCGCUCCGCCUGUCCUGGCUCGACCGCUACCCUACCCAGAUGGCGCUCAUCGAGUCGCUGCACGUCUUCAAGCCGGCUCUUGACCGGCAUUUUGACGGCGGCGACGUGGCUGGCCCGGCGAGGACCAUCGAGGGGGCAAUGGCGCAGGCUUUGGUGCAGUAUUAUCCGCUCGCCGGCCGCCUGGGAUUCACGGAGGAAGGGGGGCUGCUGCAAGUUGACUGCGGCGGCGAGGGCAGCGGCGUCUGGUUCACGGAGGCCGUGGCAGGUUGCGCGCUCGAGGACGUGGAGUACCUGGAGCACCCCAUGAUGAUCGCCAAGGACGAGCUGCUCCCGCCCACGCCCGCCCAGGAGGAGGACGAGCGCAGGCUCGUCCUGCUCGUCCAGGUCACCACCUUCGCUUGCGGCGGCUUUGUUGUCGGAUUCCGCUUCAGCCACGCCGUCUCCGACGGCCCCGGAGCCGCGCAGUUCAUGGCCGCCAUAGGGGAGCUCGCCCGCGGCAGCACGGUGGAAGGCUUGACCGUGGAGCCGCAGUGGGGCCGCGAGGCCAUUCCCGACCCGUCCGGCGCAGUCAUCGGCAGCCUGCCGAGCCCCGCGGGCGCCAAGCGCCUUGAGUACCUCGCCAUGGACAUCUCCGCGGACUACAUCAGCCACUUCAAGUCCCAGUACAAUACGGAGCACACCGGAUCCUGGUGCUCGGCGUUCGAGGUGCUAGUGGCCAAGGCGUGGCAGAGCCGCACCCGCGCGGCGGGCUUCGAGCCAGACUCCACCGUCCACCUCUGCUUCGCCAUGAACGCCCGCCCACUACUGCACGCCACGCUCCCGCGCGGCGGCGCCGGGUUCUACGGCAACUGCUACUACAUCAUGCGCGUCUCGGCGCCCGCGGGCAAGGUGUCCGGCUCCUCGAUCCCGGAAGUGGUGAAGAUCAUCAAGGAUGGGAAGAGGCGGAUGCCGUCGGAGUUCGGGCGGUGGGCGACCGGGGAGGCCGGGGCCGAUGGCGGCGUGGACCCGUAUCAGAUCACGUCGGACUACCGGACGCUGCUGGUGUCGGACUGGACGCGGCUCGGGUUCGCCGAGGUGGACUACGGCUGGGGGCCGCCGGCGCACGUCGUGCCGCUCACGAACCUGGACUACAUCGCGACGUGCAUACUGGUGAAGCCGUGGGCGCACAAGCCAGGGGCGCGGCUCAUCACCCAGUGCGUGACGCCCGACCGCGUCGCCGCCUUCCACCAAGGGAUGCUCGACAUGAACUGACCGGAGCCGAGCACGACGACGAAGCCAAAGGAGAAAUCGAAGAGGAAUUGACUUGAUUGCGUGAUUAAUUAUUGGGUUGGUUGUUUGGAUAGAUUGAUGUAGGGUGGUGGUGUGUAGUUUAACUGGAAAUAAGCUCCUCGAUUCGGGGGGUUGGGUUGUGAUUGGAUUUGGUGGGAAAAGCCACCAACUAACUAAUCCUUCGUGGAAUGUAAGAAUCAUUUGUGACAUGUUAUUAUACUAGAGAAAUUUUGCUUGUCUUGUCGAAUAGCUGAGAUCCACGGCGGUGGUGACUUGUGAGCAGUGUGUUCACUGUGUGUCUGCAUUUUGUGUCGGUCACACACUAAUUGCACGGCGGAUUCAGUCCAAGCCACUGAUGCAACGCACCACAUUUUUUUUGGCAAUUUUUUUAAAUAAUACAUUUGUAUAUUAAAUUUGAAAAAUAUUGCGUAGGUUUAAUUUUUUUUGAAAAUAACACACUGUCGACCUGCCAAAUCUGACCGGUUCCACUCGGCCUGGCCAAAGCCGCGAUUAGUGCCUCUCCGCCCAACAACCCUGUAGUCGGCUUAACAAUUACCAUUUAGAACUAAUCGUCUUAAUCAUGAUUAAUUAGUGCUAAUUGACAAAUUAGUAAUUAAUCUUUGUCUUUUUUAAUACUAAAGCGGCUACUGCUUCAGUCGAAAAAUCUGUCACCGCCGUUUUGCAAAAGGAUCCUUCUAUUUUAUGGUAAUUAACCUGCAGUACCUUUCUUAAGUGAGAAAACGUUUCGUGUGAGAAAAAAAACUGAAAAACUGAAACACACACGGUCUCUCCUCUCUCCCCUUCGCCUCCUAAUCCCACCCGCCAGGAGUCACCCCGCCCCGGUGCUCGAUCUGGAGCCGCGCCGAUCUAGCGGCGGGUGCGGCGUCUUGCUCCGGUGGCGACGACGUCCUGCUUAUCCAGAGAACGAUAGAUACAUGGCGUGAGGGAGAGAGGAAAGAGUGGAAGAAAGGAGAAGGAGGAGGGGCACAAGGUGAGGGAGGCGGUCACCGGUGGUGGCGGCUCCGGUGACCGGUUGGUGGGCGGGGGAGACGAGCUCCUGUUGAGGCGGCGGGGCUCGGUGCGGGCUGGUCCCUCCAGAUCGAGCCUUUUCUCUCCCGAGAUGUGACAUCCUCGACUUUUGCUACAGUAGUGAUUGUAAUUAAGCUACAGUGAUCAACCGCUAAUGAUGCCACGUCAUCGAAUUCCCAUCUCAGACCCGCUUGGAUUCGCGUCUGUCCGGAUCGAUGAAUUGAAAGCAAAGGGAAGCACUUUAUCGGUUCAUUACAAGUAUUAAAAGGAUAUAUAUAUAAAAGGAAAGUAUUAAAGAAAUAAUAAUGAUAAAAGAAAGGAAGAAAACUGAAAGAAAGAAAUAAUAAAAAAGGUAAAAGGUAAAAAAAAAAAAAGGAACAACCCCCCCNNNNNNNNNNNNNNNNNNNNNNNNNNNNNNNNNNNNNNNNNNNNNNNNNNNNNNNNNNNNNNNNNNNNNNNNNNNNNNNNNNNNNNNNNNNNNNNNNNNNAUCCCCCAGACUAGCUAUUCGUCUCAGUAUUUUUCAAAAAUUCCAGAAAAAUCAUACUUGAUUUUCAGGACGUUCAGAGAACUUUUAUUUUCGGGGUAUUUUUCUACGGGACGCUAAAACAGUAAACAGGGAAAACUAAACUAAAUCUAUUAUUUUUCUUCUAAGCAACCGAAGGUGAAAGCUUGGAACAGAGGUUUGUGACUCCUCGAUUGAUCCAUCCCAUGGUCAUCGAAAGAAAUCCGUCAAUGAGGUUGAUCAAGUCUCCCUGACAAACUUUUUCGAAUCACAAAAGAGAACGAAGAAUUUUCGAAUAGUCACUAGGUUACCUCAAUGGGGAUGUGUAUCUCCCCAACAAGAAAAUCAUACUUCAUCUUAACAGGAGGUAUAUGGCAUUGAAAGAUCCCAAUAAGAAUCGAUGAAGUUUUUUCGAUAGCAUUGAUGCAAUGUACUCGAUAUUGUUUCUUCGGAAAGUGCACUGUAUGCUCAUUACCAUUGACAUGGAAAGUAACAUUGCCUUUGUUGCAAUCUAUAACAGCCCCUGCAGUGUUAAGAAAGGGUCUUCCGAGGAUAACCGCCAUGGUAUCGUCCUCGGGAAUAUCCAAGAUAACAAAGUCUGUUAAGAUAGUGAUAUUCACAACCACAACAGGCACAUCCUCGCAAAUGCCGAUAGGGAAAGCAGUUGAUUUGUCGGCCAUUUGCAGAGAGAUUUUAGUGGGUGUCAACUUAUCCAAUUCAAGCCUACGAUAAAGAGAGAGAGGCAUAACACUAACACCGGCUCCAAGGUCGCAUAAAGCAGUUCUAACGUAGUUACCUUUAAUGGAGCAAGGUAUAGUGGGCACUCCGGGAUCACCUAAUUUCUUAGGAGUUCCACCCUUGAAGGUAUAACUAGCGAGCAUGGUGGAAAUCUAACCCUCAGGUAUCCUCCUCUUAUUAGUCACAAUAUCUUUCAUGUACUUAGCAUACAGAGACAUUUUGAGCAUAUCUGUCAAACGCAUUUGCAGAAAGACAGGUCUAAUUAUUUCAACAAAGUGCUCAAAAUCCUCAUCAUCCUUUUUCUUGGAUGGUUUGGGAGGAAAUGGCAUGGGUUUCUGAAGCCAUGGUUCCCUUUCUUUACCAUGCUUCGUAGCAACGAAGUCAUUCUUAUCGUAUCUCCUAGCCUUAGGCUGUGGGUAAUCAAGAUCAACAGGUUCAACGUUGAUAUUAUCAUUACGCCCAUAUUAUUGCUAGGUUGAGCAUCAAUAUGAACAUCACUAUUGAUAUUAUCAUUAGGCCCAUGUUCAUCACCAGAUUGUGUCUCAGCAUCAGAAACAGAGGCAUCGUUUGGACUCUCAGGUGUAUCAACAUCUGGGUUGCUAGCGUGCACGUUCCUAUCAUCUCUCUUCUUCUUUCUAGGAUGACUAAGUGCAUCAGUGCUAACUCCUUGAGAAUCGUGUUCAAUUCUCUUUGGAUGACCCUCAGGAUACAAAGGUUCCUGGGUCAUUCUACCGCCUCUAGUGACGACUCUAACAUAAUUGUCAUUCAACUCAUUGAGAAAGUCAUUCUGAGCUUGAAGUACUUGUUCUAGUUGAGUAGUAACCAUAGAGGCAUGUUUACUUAGAAGCUUAAGAGCAUUGACGUUUCUGUCAACACAAGCACUUAAAUGGCUAAGCAUACGAGCAUUCUGUUCCAAUUGUCUGCUAACAUAAUAAUUGAAACUCUGUUGUUUGGCAACAAAGUUAUCGAAUUCAUCUAGGCAUAGGCUAGCAGGUUUAUCAAAAGGAAUAUCACUCUCAUCAAACCUACGCAGAGAAUUUACUUCUACUACCUGUAUCGGGUUAUCGAGACCAUGGAUCUCUUCGAUAGGUGGUAGAUUUUUGACAUCUUCAGAUCUAAUGCCUUUCUCUUGCAUAGAUUUCUUGGCUUCUUGCAUAUCUUCGGGACUGAGGAAUAGAAUACCUCUUUUCUUCGGAGUUGGCUUAGGAGGUGGUUCGGGAAUAGUCCAAGCAUUAUCGUUGAUCAAGAUGUUAUUCAGUAGAGUCUCAGCUUGUUCUACAGUCCGUUCCCUAAAAACACAACCGGCACAACUAUAUAGGUGGUCUCUAGAAGCAUCGGUAAGUCCGUUAUAGAAGAUAUCAAGUAUCUCGUUCUUCUUAAGAGGGUGAUCAGGCAAAGCAUUCUGUAGCUGCACGAGCCUCACCCAAGCUUGUGGGAGACUCUCUUCUUUGAGUUCAGCAAAGUUGUAUAUUUCCUGCAAGGCAGCUUGCUUCUUAUGGGCAGGGAAAUAUUUCUCACAGAAGUAAUAGACCAUAUCCUGGGGACUACUGACACAUCCACGAGCAAGAGAAGUGAACCAGGCUUUAGCGUCAUCCUUUAGAGAGAAAGGAAACAGCUUAAGGAUAUAGUNNNNNNNNNNNNNNNNNNNNNNNNNNNNNNNNNNNNNNNNNNNNNNNNNNNNNNNNNNNNNNNNNNNNNNNNNNNNNNNNNNNNNNNNNNNNNNNNNNNNGCCCAAGAGGGCCCUAUGCGCCUAGAGAAGAAAAUCAAGGAGAAAAAAAAAGAGGAGGUGGGAAGGGAAGGAAGGACUCCCUCCCACCAAACCUAGUCCAAGUCGGUUUGGGGGGGGGGGGAACCUUCCCCCUUGGACUCGGCCGACCCCCUUGGGGCUCCUUGAGCCCCAAGGCAAGGUCCCCUCCCUCCCACCUAUAUAUACUAAGGUUUUAGGGCUGAUUUGAGACGACUUUUCCACGGCAGCCCGACCACAUACCUCCACGGUUUUUUCCUCUAGAUCGCGUUUCUGCGGAGCUCGGGCGGAGCCUUGCUGAGACAAGGUCAUCACCAACCUCCGGAGCGCCGUCACGCUGCCGAAGAACUCUUCUACCUCUCCGUCUCUCUUGCUGGAUCAAGAAGGCCGAGAUCAUCGUUGAGCUGUACGUGUGCUGAACGCGGAGGUGCCGUCCGUUCGGUACUAGAUCGUGGGACUGAUCACGGGAUUGUUCGCGGGGCGGAUCGAGGGACGUGAGGACGUUCCACUACAUCAACCGCGUUCACUAACGCUUCUGCUGUACGGUCUACAAGGGUACGUAGAUCACUCAUCCCCUCUCGUAGAUGGACAUCACCAUGAUAGGUCUUCGUGCACGUAGGAAAUUUUUCUGUUUCCCAUGCGACGUUCCCCAACAGCUACUGCUAGAGAUGCUAUGCCUGAUAUUGCUAGAGAUUCUAUGCCUGAUACUGCUAGAGAUGAUAUGCCUGAUGAUGCUAUGCUUGAUACUGCUUUGCCUGAUGAUGCUAGAGAUGCUAUUUUGCCUGAUGAUGCUAUGCUUGAUACUGCUAGAGAUACUACUUUGCCUGAUGUGCCACCAGGGGUGUUCCUUGAUGCUCAUAUUGCUAGAGUUACUGCCAAUGCUCGUGGUGCUUCUGAAACUGCCGAUACUAUUGAGAUAGAACCUGCUUUUGCUCCUGCUAGAUCUAGCUCUCCUAGAUAUGAAUUUCCUGAUAUACCUGAGGGUUACGUUAUGGAGAGAGAGAUAGCUGAGAAUUUUCUUGCGUGUAAGGAUGCCUAUGACGCUGAGAAAUUACUUCUCAAGUGGAAGGAAAAAUCUCUGAAAGCUAGGAUGAAAUACGACCCGAAGUUUGCCACUUCACCUAUCUUUAUCACCGAUAAGGAUUAUGAAUUCUCUGUCGAUCCUGAGAUAAUCUCUCUAGUCGAAUCUGAUCCUUUCCACAGUUAUGAGUCUGAGACGGUCCUAGCCCAUCUUACCAAACUACACGAUAUAGCCACCCUUUUCACUAGUGAGUUGAAGAUCCGCCACUACUAUAUCCUUAAGCUGUUUCCUUUCUCUCUAAAGGAUGACGCUAAAGCCUGGUUCACUUCUCUUGCUCGUGGAUGUGUCAGUAGUCCCCAGGAUAUGGUCUAUUACUUCUGUGAGAAAUAUUUCCCUGCCCAUAAGAAGCAAGCUGCCUUGCAGGAAAUAUACAACUUUGCUGAACUCAAAGAAGAGAGUCUCCCACAAGCUUGGGUGAGGCUCGUGCAGCUACAGAAUGCUUUGCCUGAUCACCCUCUUAAGAAGAACGAGAUACUUGAUAUCUUCUAUAACGGACUUACCGAUGCUUCUAGAGACCACCUAUAUAGUUGUGCCGGUUGUGUUUUUAGGGAACGGACUGUAGAACAAGCUGAGACUCUACUGAAUAACAUCUUGAUCAACGAUAAUGCUUGGACUAUUCCCGAACCACCUCCUAAGCCAACUCCGAAGAAAAGAGGUAUUCUAUUCCUCAGUCCCGAAGAUAUGCAAGAAGCCAAGAAAUCUAUGCAAGAGAAAGGCAUUAGAUCUGAAGAUGUCAAAAAUCUACCACCUAUCGAAGAGAUCCAUGGUCUCGAUAACCCGAUACAGGUAGUAGAAGUUAAUUCUCUGCGUAGGUUUGAUGAGAGUGAUAUUCCUUUUGAUAAACCUGCUAGCCUAUGUUUUGAUGAGUUUGACAACUUAGUUGCCAAACAACAGAGUUUCAAUGAUUAUGUUAGUAGACAUUUGGAACAAAGUACUCGUAUGCUUAGUCAUUUAAGUGCUUGUGUAGACAGAAAUGUCAAUGAUCUGAAGCUUCUGAGUAAACAAGCCUCUAUGAUUACUACUCAGGUAGAACAAGUACUUAAAGCUCAGAAUGACCUGCUCAAUGAAUUAAAUGACAACUCUGUCAGAGUCGUUACUAGAGGAGGCAAAAUGACUCAGGAACCUUUGUAUCCUAAAGGCCAUCCUAAGAGAAUUGACCAAGAUUCUCAAGGAAUUAAUGUAGAUACACCCAGCCAUCCUAAGGAGAAGAAGAAGGAUGAUAGAAACCUGCAUGUUAGUUCACCAAAUACUGUCACACCUGAAGAACCAAAUGAUAUUUCCGCGUCUGAUGCAGAAACACAAUCUGGUGAUGAACAUGAACCUGGUGACAAUAUGGACAGCGAUGUUCAUAAUGAUGCUCAACCUAGCAAUGAUAAGGAUAUGGAGAUUGAACCUACAGUUAAUCGUGAUAACCCACAACCUAAGAGAUACGAUAAGAUUGAUUUCACUUCUAGGAAGCAUGGUAAAGAAAGAGAGUCAUGGGUUCAGAGACCUAUGCCCUUUCCUCCUAAGCCAUCCAAGAAAAAGGAUGAUGAGGAUUUUGAGCGCUUUAUUGAAAUGAUAAGACCCGUAUUUCUGCAGAUGCGGUUAGUUGAUAUGCUCAAAAUGUCUCCAUAUGCCAAGUACAUGAAAUAUAUCGUGACCAACAAACGGAAGAUACCAGAUCUUGAGAUCUCCACCAUGCUUGCCAAUUACACUUUCAAAGGUGGAACUCCUAAGAAACUUGGUGAUCAUGGAGUGCCCACUAUACCUUGCUCCAUUAAAGGAAACUACGUAAGAACUGCCUUAUGUGACCUUGGAGCCGGUGUUAGUGUUAUGCCUCUCUCUCUUUAUCGUAGACUUCAACUGGAUAAGUUGACACCCACUGAAAUCUCUCUGCAAAUGGCCAACAAAUCAACUGCUUUCCCUGUUGGCAUUUGCAAGGAUGUGCCUGUUGUGGUUGCUAACACCACUAUCUUAACAGACUUUGUUAUCUUGGAUAUUUCCAAGGACGAUGCCAUGGCUGUCAUCCUCGGAAGACCCUUUUUAAACACUUCAGGGGCUUUUAUAGAUUGCAACAAUGGCAAUGUCACUUUCCAUGUCAACGGUAAUGAGCACACCGUGCACUUUCCGAAGAAAUGAUAUCAAGUACAUUGCAUCAAUGCUAUCAAAAAACUUCAUCGAUUCUUAUUGGGAGCUUUGAAUGCCCUAUUCCUCGUGUCAAGAUGAAGUAUGAUUUGCUUGUUGGGGAGAUUCAUAUCCCCACUGAGGUGACUUAGUGGCUAUUCGACAAUUCUCCGUUUCCUUCCGCGAUUUGAGAAAGUUUGUCAUGAGGAUUUGAUCAACCCCAUUGACAGAUUUCUUUCGAUGACCAUGAAAUGGAUGAAUCAAGGAGUCACAAACCUCUGUUUUAAGAACUUUCUGUUGCUUGGAAGAAAAAUGAUAGAUUUAGUUUAGUUUUCCCUGUUUCCUGUUUUAGCGUCCCGGAGAAAAGUACCCCGAAAAUAAAAGUUCUCCGAUGGUCCUGAAAAUCUAGUAUGAUUUUUUCUGGAAUAUUUGAAAAAUACUGGGACUGAGAGCUGGCCUGGGGGCCACCCCAGUGGGCCACAAGCCCUAUCACCGCGGGCUACCCCCUGGCCGGGGGGAGCAAGCUUGUGGGGCCCACAGGGGCUCCCUCCACUCAUUCCAGCUCCCAUCCUCUUCUUCUUCCUCCAGAAAAAAUUGUUUCACAACUCAAACCCGUGUUCUUGCUCAUUUGGCUAUGAUUUUCGAUCUCCUUGCUCAAAGCACCAUUCUCCGAACCGUUUUGGGGGAAAUUACUCAUUGGUAAGUGACUCCUCCAUUGGUCCAAUUAGUUUUUGCUCUAGUACUUUAUCCUUCGCGUAUUCUUGCUACCUUGGUGACCCUGUUCUUGAGCUUGAAAUGCUGAUUUUAGCUGGUCCCAAGUAGUUUUAGCGCGUGAUACGGUCUCUAGGCACUAGUAGGAGUAGUUGCUACGAGUUGGGUUAAUCCUUACUCACUUUUCUUUCGAGGUCUCUAAAAAUUUCAGAUAUUUUUAGACCUAGAAAAGGAAAAAAGAUGAGGAGGUUCUUGAGAGGCUCUUCAAGCCAUAAACCCAAGGAGGAUGAGAAGAACCACCCCAAGUAUGUGGUUCCUCGAGUCACGGAAGUUCGAGCGUGCAAGUGGCCAAGUGAUGAAUUUUUGCGCGUCGUCAGGCUUUAUGAAGACUUUUAUUACUUGGUGGAGAACGCAGGUCUUACCGCGUUCGUUGAAGAUAAGUGCUCACAAUACCUCCUCCUCACCAAUAUUUUCGUUCAAAGCUUCAACUUUUAUCCAAGGAAGAAUCCUCCCAUGGUUGAGUUCAUGUUGUACGAUAUCCCCCAGUGCAUGACACUACAGGAUUUUUGCAAUGCAUGCAAAUUACCUUAUGUUGGGGAUAUUCAUGAUCCUCGUCCUCGGGACUUGGAGGAUUUCAUAGGUACUACUGUUGUUGGAGAGGAGAGAGGAGUGUCUCGCGCUAGAAUUGCUAGCAUACAUUUUCCUGUGCUUCAGUACUUCUCAUUAUUUGUGGGAAAAUGUUUGAUUGGCCGUGGGGAGGUUGGAUCACUUAGCUCUCCAGACCUUGCGGUUUUGCGCGAAGGCCUUUAUAGCGAUAAGACUUAUAGCCUGGGUGCUAUAGUAGCUUAGCGGUUGAACACCAACCGUUCCAAAGGUGUCGUCUAUGGAGGUAUCUAUGCUACUCGUCUUGCUAGACACUUUGAGAUACCUAUCAGAUUUCGCGAGGAAGAAGAGAUGCUUCUUCCUGAGAAAUAUCAGGAUUAUGACAGCAUGGUUCGCCAGGAUUUUAUGGAUAGAGAUGCUAGUAGGCGAAUGCUUUAUAACCUGGUAUUUAGUCAGGGUACUCGAGAGACUAUUACUUUGCCUGCUCCUUCUUUGUUCGAUCUUCAUGCUGGCAGGUACACUAUUAUGCCCUCGGACAUCUACGCAUAUUGGGGCUUAGCCCAACCACAGGUGCCCGUGCCCGAGCCGCCAGUCGAGUACCAGACGCCAGUUUAUCAGUGGGAGCUAGAGGAGCUCACACAGCAGUGGCAUCCACAGUCCGCUCCGGAGUAUCCUGGAGCUGAUUAUUUCCCGCCUUGGGAGUAGACCAAGCUAGGCCAAAAGCCUAAGCUUGGGGGAGUACGUGUUCUCACCGACCUUACAUUCAUGCUUAUGCUUUCACUUUGUUCGUCGGUAUUUACACUUUGCCACUGUAUUAUCCAUGCUAGUUUAUUUUCGUUUUCUUGUUUUCUUGUUUUGUGUCAUUUUGAGAGAACCCGAAAAGAUUUUCCUUUCUUCUUUAGCUUGUUGGGAGCUUUCCCGUGUAAAUAGUUUUAUUUUUCUUUGGGUCAAGGUAGAAGAUAUUGGUUACAAUGUUUAGUGGCUCUUGCAUGCAUACCUGUUUAGCUUUCAAAGAGCCAUAUUACUUGUCUUCUCCUUUGUGGUUGCCUGCAGAUUCAGCUUAGUCCAUUGCACGAGCACGCUUAUUAUUGUUCACAUCGUUGGAUCGUGCAAGUGAAAGGCAAUAAUGAUGAUAUAUGAUGAAGUGACUGAGGCUGGAAAAGAUGGUAUGAACUAUUUUGUUUUUGUAAAUAUGACUAGCUUGUCAUCCCAGAUUCAGCUUUGUUGUGAGAGGACCAUGUUUGCAAUGACAACUUAGAGAUCAUAGUUUCUGAUGCCAUGCUUAUUUAUCUAGGAGCUUAUAAUGGUUUGUCUUGAAUGCCAACAUAGAUUUUGAGAUGACUAUGAUGUAGUAUGAUAGGAUGGUAUUAUCCUUUGAAUGAUUCAAGUGGCUUGACUUGGCGCAUGUUCAUGCAUGUAGUUGAAACAAAAUCAACAUAGCCUCUAUGAUGUUCGUGUUCAUGGUGAUUUAUAUCCUGUUCAUGCUUGCACUCCAUGUUAGUCAAACUCAUUGUAUUCUGAUGACUGUUGUCGCUCUCUAGUUGGUCGCUUCCCAGUCUUUUGCUAGCCUUCAUUUGUACUAAGCGGAAUACUGCUUGUGCAUCCACUUCCAUAAACCCAAAAGUUUUUUCAUGUGAGUCCACCAUACCUACCUAUGUGCGGUAUUUACCUGCCGUUCCAAGUAAAUUUGCAUGUGCCAUUCUCUAAACCUGCAAGAAAUAAUCAGUUUUGCAUGCCCGAACCGCUCAUGUGGUGACAGGGGGCUAUUGAUAUCUUCCAUGUUAGGCGUGUUAUCCCCGACAUGUGUUUAUUCACUGUCAUAACUGUAAAACAAGGCUCCCCCGGAUUGAUGUUAGUAUGGACGGUACCCAAGGAUUCGGCUAGCCGUGGAGUGUGAUUGAUUGGUGGUGGGGGAGUGAAAACUUUACUUUUCUGUUUGGGAACCGCCAAUAGCAUGAGUAGCGUGGAAGAUAUUGAGAACUCUUGGUCAUUGCGUUGACAAUGAAAGCAUGCCACCUAAAAUUAUUAUCUCUGUUUUCAAAGCUUGAGCUCUGGCACCUCUGCAAAUCUAUGCUUCCCUCUGCGAAGGGCCUGCCUAUUUAUUUUCCUGUUAAGUCAUCCUCUUCUUAUAUAAGAACCAAUUAGAGAGCACCUUUGUCAUCUUUAUGCUUUGCUUUUGAUUGGUAUUGAGUAUGACUAUGACUGGAUCUUCGUUGCUACGAAUUACAAUGUUUAGUCAGCCCUUGAUCUUUGAAAGUGCUCUGCAUUUAUGUUUUGCGGUCUCAGAAAGAGCUAGCGAGAUACCACCUAUUCAUAUUGCUUCAUGCUUAUUUUGAUUGAAUUGUUGGUAUUUGGAACUCAUUAUUAUUUGCUCGCUAGCUGAUUAUGCCAUUGAUAUUAGUUUACAGUGAGACCUUUGUGUCACUUGCUUAUAUAGUUAACUUGUGAUCUUCCUGAAAUUCUGGUUACGAGUUAGACAGAGUUGCAACAACAAGAUCAAACAGAGUUUGUCAAAGUUUUUCUUUCUCUUUCAGUUUGUCAACUGAGUUGCUUGAGGACAAGCAAGGUUUUAAGCUUGGGGGAGUUUGAUACGUCUCCAUCGUAUCUACUUUUUCAAACUCUUUUGCCCUUGUUUUGAACUCUAAUUUGCAUGAUUUGAAUGGAACUAACCCGGACUGACGCUGUUUUCAGCAGAAUUGCCAUGGUGUUGUUUUUGUGCAGAAAUGAAAGUUCUCGGAACAUCCUGAAAAUUUACGGAUAUUUUUUCUGGAAAAUAUGAAAAAUAGGUGCGCAAAGAUCCACGGGAAGGGAUGGGCCAGUGGGCCACAAGCCCUGUUGCCGCGGCCUCCCCCCUGGCCGCGGCAACCAAGCUUGUGGGGCCCAUGUGGCUCUGCCGCCCCCAAACUCAGCUCUAUAAAUUCACUUUUGCCCAGAAAAAAAAUCAGAAGAGAAGAUUUCGUCGCAUUUGCGAUACGGAGGCGCCGCCAUAUCCUGUUCUUCAUUUGGAAGACAGAUCUGGAGUCCGUUUUGGGCUCCGGAGAGGGAAAAUCGUCGCCAUCGUCAUCAUCAACCUUCUUCCCUCUCCAAUUCCAUGAAGCUCUUCAUUGUUCGUGAGUAAUCUAUUCGUAGGCUCGCUGGGCGGUGAUGAGUAGGAUGAGAUCUAUCAUGUAAUCGAGUUAGUUUUGACAGGGAUUGAUCCCUAGUAUCCACUAUGUUCUGAGAUUGAUGUUGCUACUACUUUGCCAUGCUUAAUGCUUGUCACUAGGGCCCGAGUGACAUGAUUUCAGAUCUGAAAUUAUUAUGUUGUCACCAAUAUAUGUGAGUUUUAGAUCCGAUCUUGCAAGUUGUGGUUACCUACUAUGUGUUAUGAUCUGACAACCCCGGAUUGACAAUAACCGGAACCACUCCCGGUGAUGACCAUAGUUUGAGGAGUUCAUGUGUUCACCAAGUGCUAAUGCGUUGUUCCGGUUCUUUAUUAAAAGGAGAACCUUAAUAUCCUGUAGUAUCCUUUUGGACCCCGCUGCCAUGGGAGGGAUGGACAAUAGAUGUUAUGCAAGUUCUUAUACUACUUUGCUGCCAUCAACAGAUCAUUUUUGACACCGUUAUUAUCAUACUACUUUGCCAUCAACAGAUCAUUUUUGACACCGUUGUUAUCAUACUACUUUGCUGCUGAUACUUUGCUGCUGAUACUUUGCUUGCAGAUACUAAUCUUUCAGGUGUGGUUGAAUCUGAUACAUUCAGCUGCUAAUACUCGAGAAUAUUCUCUCACCUCCUGCGUGGCGAAUCAACAAAUUUGGGUCGAAUACUCUACCCUCGAAAACUCUCGCGAACCCACGCGCUGGUGGGCCAUUGCAAGACAAUUGCUAAUUGUUGAGCAACUGGGAGUGCUAGCAGCAUUCUUCUGGCGUCGUUGCUGGAGAAGGUCUGUUGUCACAGUAGCAGUUUGCUAACAGAAACAAUUGCUUGACUUGUCAUCGGGGUUGUGCAUGAUUUAGACACUUUGUGUGGAGAAGAUGGAGCAUAGCCAGACCAUAUGAUUUUGUAGGGAUAACUUUCUAAGACCAUGUUAUUUAGAAAGGACGCAAUUGCAUUGUUAGUAUGCUUGAAGUAUUACUAUUUUUAUGUCAAUAUUAGACUUUUGUUUUGAAUCUUAUGGAUCUAAAUAUUCAUGCCACAAUAAAUAAUAUUACAUGGAUAAAUUUGUUAGGUAGCAUUCCACAUCAAAAAUUCUAUUAUUAUCAUUUACCUACUCGAGGACGAGCAUGAAUUAAGCUUGGGGAUGCUUGAUACGUCUCCAAGGUAUCUAUAAUUUUUUAUUGUUCCAUGCUAUUAUAUUAUCUGUUUCAGAUGUUUUAUAUGCAAUAAUAUGAUAUUUUAUAUUAUUUUUGGGACUAACCUAUUAAUCUAGAGCCUAGUGCCAGUUUCUGUUUUUUUUUCAUGUUUUUGUGUGAAUAUUAAACAGAGUCCAAACGGAAUAAAAUCUUCGGGAUGAUUUUUCUUGGACCAGAAGCAUCAUAGAAAACUUGGAGAUGAAGGUAGGAGAGCCGCCGUAUGGCGACAAGCCACAGGGGCGCGCCAUAGGGGGGGCCAAGCAUGUGGACCCAUGGCAACCCUCCUAACCCUAUUCUUCGGCCUAUAGAUUCCCAAAUAUUCCCUGGAUACCAAAGAGAGCCACGAAAAUACUUUUCCGCCGCCGGAAGCCUCUAUUCCCAUGAGAUCCAAUCUUGGAGCCUUUUCAGGUAAUCUGUUGGAGGGGGAAUCGAUCAUAGAGGGCAUCUACAUCAACUCCAUUGCCCCUCCGAUGAUGCAUGAGUAGUACACCACGGACCUUCAAGUCGAUAGCUAGUAGCUAGAUGGCUUCCUCUCUCUUUGUUCUUCAAUACCAUGUUCUUCAUGGAGAUCUAUCCGAUGUAAUACUCUUCCGGUGUGUUUGUCGAGAUCUGAUGAGUUGUGGUUUUAUGUUCAGAUUAUCUAUGAAUAUUAUUUGAGUCUUCUCUGAAUUCUUAUAUGCAUGAUUUCGUAUCGUUGCUAGUCUCUUCGAGUUAUUGGUUUGGUUUGGCCAACUAGAUUGGUAAUUCUUGCAAUGUGAGAAGUGCUUAGUUUUGGGUUCAAUCUUGCAGUGACCUCACCAGUGACAAAGUAGGGGUAGCGAGGCAUGUAUUUUUAUUGUUUCCAUCGAGGAUAAAAAGAUGGGGUUUUCAUCAUAUUGCUUUAGUUUAUCCCUCUACAUCAUGUCAUCUUACCUAAUGCGUUACUAUGUUCCUCAUGAACUUAAUACUCUUGAUGCACGCAGGAGUCGGUCGAUGUGUGGAGUAAUAGUAGUAGAUGUAGAAUCAUUUUGGUCUACUUGACACGGACGUGAUGCCUAUAUGCAUAAUCAUUGCCUUGGAUAUCUUUAUAAUUAUUCACUUUUCUAUCAAUUGCUCGACAGUAAUUUGUUCACCCAUCGUAUUAUUUUUCUUCAUGAGAGAAGCCUCUAGUGAAACCUAUGGCCCCCGGGUCUAUUUUCCAUAUUAUACUUUCAAAUCUAUAAACCAAAACUACCAAAAAUAUCUUGUUGCAAUUUAUUUACUUUUGUUUUACUUUUCGUUUCAGCAAUAUUUUAUAUUUAUCUCUAACAGAUCUCAUCCUUGCAAGUAAACGUGAAGGGAUUGACAACCCCUUUUUAGCGUUGGUGCAAGCGUUCGAUUGUUUGUGUAGGUGCAAAGACUAGGGCCUUGCUUGUUCCUCCUACUAGAUUGAUACCUUGGUUCUCAACAAACUAAGGGAAAUACUUAUCUACUUUGCUGCACCACCCUUUCCUCUUCAAGGGAAAACCAACGCAAGCUGAAGAAUUAGCAGUACAGUCUCCAUACCGGAUGUUCGGCCUAUGACUCAGAUGUGCAUCCAGUGCCAACCACUUAUUCUAUAAUUAGGUGCCAUAAUCUCACUACCACUAUAUAUAGCCUUCUUAUACAUCAAGAUAAGGUUGACCAUUCACUUUGAGCUAACCCUAGAACACAUAUUUCUCUCUCUCACAUCCUCAUACACCAAAUCCAAGAUCCCAGAGGCAUUUGAGAGUACUUGUUAGAAGUGCUCCAAUCAAGUGACAUAUCCACUCCUUCCCCUUCUCUUGACCAAAGGAAUUUGUGAUUUGAGCAAGUCUUCAGAUUUUCCCCUUCGUUCUUGUUACUCUUGGAGGUUGUAGACUCCUAGGUGGUUGCAGUUCUUCAGUGAGGAAUCAACCAUUGUGAUUAUCGUCAGAAAGUUCGUGAGGGUUUGCAGACCACCCCAAUGUCUACUACUAGUGGUUGAUAAAUUCCUUUGUGGUGUUGUCUAAAGGAGAGAAUAUGGUGAGCCUUCGUGACAUUGGUGGGUGCCUUUAUGGUAACAUCCACCUCUCUAAACGUUGAAGUAGAUUCCCUUCAAGGAGUGAAUAUUAGCAUACACCCUCGUCUCUCGGAGUUGCGGUUAUUCCUAACCUUAACUUUCUACUUGUUGUUACUUGUUUCUUGCACUUACUUGUAUUACAUUAUUCUUACCUAUGUCUUUACUUUUUGCUUUGUUAAUCUACUUUGCACCGUUAUCAUCUUAGCAAUUGUUAGGGUCACUUUCAUAUUCCCCAAUAUUGCCUAAAAUUGCUAAGUAACAAAUAAAAUUUGGAAUUAUACCUAUUCACCCUCCUCUAGGUCCAUCUCAAUCCUUUCACAACUCAUUGUAGGAUAAGUUCAUUUUUAUCAUUAGGAACAAUGGUAAUGCCACAUUUCUUAGGGACACAAUGAACAUGACUUAUACAUCUACUAUCAACUAUAGAAUAAAUUAUAACUGCCACUAGGAGCUUUAAUAUUUCAGUUCUUACCACAUUGUUCAUUUCAGGAUUCAAGCAACAUUGACGAUCGAUGACUGCUUUAGACUUGGGCUCCAAAUUAAUUUUGUGUUGACACAUAAAUCAUGAGUAUUUCCAAUUACAGCAGGAUGUUUCUUCAAAGUUUUCAAUAAACUCUUUUUUUGGUGUACUCAAGGGUUAGCAUUGAUAAUAAUAGAAUAUAUUUUCUUUUCAUCCAUAGAAGCAUAUUUCAAAGUAUUUGCGCUUUUCUUUAGUUCGAACACAUGAUCACUCGUAGGUGGACGAGGAUCUCCAAAAAUUUCAGCAGGAAAAUUAUGCUUAAGGAUAGGUUGUUGCCUAAAAAAUAUUUCAUCUAUUUCAUCGCUUUCAUUCAUAUGCAUAUCAUUUUCAUGAUCUAACAAAUAUUGCUCUAAUGGAUUGUAGGAGGCACAACUAUAGAAGCAAGACCAAUAAUAUCAUCUUUAUUAGGUAAAUCUUUAUCAUGAGGUUGUCACAUGAACUUAGAUAAAUUAAAUUCAUGAGAUACAUCAUCAAACUUCACCUUUACCUUUUCCUUAACACAAUAAUUUCUACAUUAACCGUGUUCAAGAAGGGUCUACCAAAUAUGGCGGGUCAAAAAUUAUCUUGUUGUGAACCAAGUACUAGGAAAUUAGUAGGGUAUUUAAUGUUACCACACAAGGCUUCAACAUCUCUAACAAUCCCAAGCAGUGAAAUGGUAUCCUUAUUAGCAAACUUAAUAGUAGUAUCAAUCUCCUCUAUGUGAGGAGGUUAAAUAUCAUGCAUGACUUCUUGAUAGAGAGAAAGGAAUACCACUUAUACUAGCACUCAUGUCACAUAAACAAUGAUAGCAAUGAUAUCCAAUCUUAACAGAAACAACAUGCAUGCCAACAACUUUCUUAUUCUUAUGUACCAUAUCUCGUUCACUUCUAAUAGCUUUAGCUAUUCUAACAUCUUCGUCACAGAAAUAUAUAACAUGCCCCUAAAUAUUAUUAACCAAGAAAUUUUUACCAUAUAAAUAGGACGUUAUAUUUUAAUUUGGUCAAAGGUUUUAGAUUCUUUAACAUUACUAUUAUGAAAAGGGGGCAGGGUAGUCCAGGACCAAGGGGUCCUCGGGUUGCCGAUCUAUCUCUAAUGGGCCACUUCGGGAAGCCGAUGACAUAUGCGAGGAUGAUUCCACAAGACUUGGUGAUCAAGACAAGGACUCCACCAACGCGUCCGACUAGGACCCUUGUUAUCCUAGUUCUUCGGUGCAUUAUAUAAGCCGAUGCUAGGCUAGUCAAUAGAUCAUUAUAAUGAUACGUCAGCAGAACCAUCAUCUAGGGUUUAGUCCAACAGACCUCGUGGUAGAUCGAGUCUGUAACCAUCAUACACUCAUGAAUAUAAUCGAGCAUGACACAGGGGUUUACCUCUUUGAGAGGGCCCGAACAUGGGAAAAUGUUGUCCCCAUGUUUCGUGUUACCCACUGAUCCAAGAUUCACAACUCGGGACCCCCUAGUCGAAAUCCAAAAGUUUUGACACCGACAUUGGUUCUUUGUAAAUAUAAGCAGUACACACAACAAUAUUAGCAGUGUAAGCGAGUAUUUCAGUAUUGUAAAUUAUAUGUUCUUCAAAAAUACGUGUGAUAGGUGGAUGUAAUUUAAACAAUUUCUAUUUAGGAAGAUCAACAUGAACAACAAGAGAUUCAUAGAAUGUAGCACUAUCUCACAAUCAAGUCCAUGUUUUGCACAAAGCUUAACAAAAAUAUUUGUUUCUAAAAGAGACUUAACACAAUCAUAUUAAAGAUUUAUAAUUGACUCAUUACCUUUGUCGACCUCUCGUUCUUCAAAUUUGUGUUUAAUUCCUUCAAUAAUAUAUUACUUGAAUUCAAUACUUCCUUGUGAGAAACAACCACCAAAAAAAGAAUCAAGUAUUGCUCUAUCAUUACGAGAAAGACAAGCAUAAAAGUUUUCAAUAAUCAUAUUGCAUCAUUUCCUUAAGCCUCACCCAAGGUUAUAUAUAUAUAUAUUCUCAUUACAUGAACCAAGUGCAUAUGAUAAAUUUCUGGUGGAAUUCCAGCUUCGUUCGGUUCGAGUCCCAUGAAUUGGUAUCAUCCAAUAGCCUAUACCAUGUAAAUGGUAGUCCCUUUAAAUAUCAAGGGAAUGAUUUCUCUUAACCUCAUCCAUUAAUAAACCUACAAGGUUAAACAAACCACAAAGUUCAUCCAUAUAGAUUAAAUGCAUAUAAGAAUGUGUUGUUCUAUCGCCUGUAUAGGGACUGUCAUGCAAUUUUUCCAUAAUAUAAAAACGGAUGGCAUAAUAGAAAGUUAGUAGGAUGAGGAACAAUUUUUACCGCAUCUUGUCGAGGUGAAGAUACCUGUAUAAACCUCUCAAAGGAUUGUCUUCCAUACUAACAAGUGAAGCUAAAUUUCAGCACGUAAUAUAAAUAUUUACUUACCAAAUUCCAAUUACCAAGAGUGCUUCACUCCCCGGCAACGACAUGAGAAAAAAGUCUUAAUGACCCACAAGUAUUGGGGAUAGACCAUCUUACUUUCGAUAAGUAAGACUACGAAACCAAUGAGGAGCAAAAGGAAUCACUAAGUAUUUUCCAGCAAGGUAUUCUCUCCAAGUGUUGCUAAGUAGUUAUUAUAGAUAGUUUGAUGGCAAUAUAAUUCGUAGAAAGUAACAACUAACAAAAUUAACAAGGUGCAAAAAGUUGGCCCAAUCCUUUCAUUCCGAAGAACAAGCCGGAAGUACUUCUUAUAAUGAUUAAAUCGUUCGCGAGGACACAUGAGAAUAUUGUGUAGUUAGUUUUACCAUGAUUCAUUGAAUCGUGUUCAUUGCUUUGAUAAGUUAUUAUGUGGGUAGGCCGGUGCUAAGGUGUUGUUCUUGCUUGAACAAAAAACCUACUUAUGAUUACACACUCUCGCAAGCAUCUGCAACUAUAAGAGAAGAAUUAAGAUAAAUCUAAUCAUAGCAUCACACAUAUGGACCCAAACAACCCCUUACAAAAUAGCUCAUAAACUAGGGUUUAGGCUCCUUUCAGUCCCGCAUCCAUCAUCUACUAAAAAAUCCCAUAAUGUCUUCCCUAGGCCCAAAUAUGGUAAUGUGUCAUGUAGUCAAUGUUCACAUAACACUACUAGAGGAAGAACACCACAAGAGAUCAUCAAAACAUUAAACAGAAACCAACUUCACAUGAUUACUUAUAACAAGACUUCUCCCAUAUCCUCAAGAACAAAUGGAACUACUCACAAAUCAUGGAGGAUAAAUAUAUGAUAAACAAUCUAAACAUAUAAUCUUUCACGAAAUAAACAAACUAGCAUCAACUACAAAAUGUAAUCAAUACUAUUAUAACACAAGUUUGGGACAAAGAUUGGAUGAAGAGAUGAAUUAGGGUUUGUAGAUGAGAUGGUGCUGGUGAGAUGUUGAUGGGGAUGAGUAUUUGCAUGAUAAGGGGAACGUUGGUGAUGACAAUAGCUUCGAUUUCCCCAUCCUUUGAGGAAAGUUUCCCAAGCGGAAUCGCUCCAUCGGACAGCUACACUGCUCCUACCCAGGUCCAGCUUUGAGACGGUGGCGCUUUGUCCCAGAAGUCUCUUAUGAUUUUUUUCUAUGGAAAAUGACAUCAUAUAGUGAAAGAUGGGCAUUAGUGGACCCCCGGGGCACCCACAAGCUCACAUGGCGCGCCCCACGGGGAUGGUCACACCACCCGAGCUUGUGGGCCCGUGGAGGCUCCUUUGUCGUAUAUUCUUCUUCCAGUUUUUUAAAAUACUACAAAUAAAUAAUCGCAAGUUUUUAGGUCAUUGGGAGCUCCGGCGAAUAUGCAUCUGUUUUGUAGAUCUUUUUAGGUCUGGAAUACCAGCUGCCAUCAAUCUCCCUCAUGUGAUAGAACUUGCAAUUUAAGAGAAAACGACAUUAGGGUUGCAUCAAAAAGUGAAAUAUAACUCUAAAACUUAUAAAUAACAGUAAAAAAACAUGAUGCAAAAUGAACGUAUCAUGUACCACUAGGUGAAGACCCUAGCAAGACCGACAAAAUUGGCAGGCAACUUUCCGCCAAAUAGGUAAGCAUGCAUGCUACCUUCCUUCGAAAAGACUCUCACAGUUUUGUGUAGCCGUGAGAUAUUCCCACGGUACCCACGAAGGUGAUUGAACAACAAUUGUCCGUGUUCCCAAGUGCAUGACCCGUCCGAUAGAAGGCAUGUCGGCACACGCUAGGAUUUCAUCUGAGGGGGGUUGAAGCGUUCCUAAAUACCCGCUUCACGAGGGAGGUGAUCCACCUUGAUUAAUUGGCCAACCCCGUCGUUCUCGUCCUGAAGGACAACAAGAAAGAGACGAAAACCAUAGUUGCCAUGUGUGAUUGAUUAGUUGCCAUAUAUGCACAAUUGUAGUUGCCAUGCAUCACCGUACGAGCGUUGGGUGGGCGAAGAGUAGUUCACCCACAUGACAACGUGAGAAGUCAUGCGUUAAUGGACUGCAUGGUUUCCGUGUGGACGAGGACCGGUUCACCCACACUCGCGAAGCUGGCAACCACACGUUGCGGGUCGUGCAAGGCCGUUUGGAACCCCACACACACCACGCUAUGCCUAUGUGGCACUAAAUUUCCAUUAGAUCCCUGCAAGAUUCGUGCAAUUUAGAACCAACUAUGAUUAGGGCGUGUAAACCAAGUGUUGAAAUGCCACACGUGUGGGCCUUAUCAUUUGGGUUUUGCUUGCUUUGGACGGGAGAAUAAGGACAACUCUAAAGCACAAUCCCAAAUAGUCUGGCCUUGUCCAUUUGGGGGUAAACGGACAGAAAAGGCCGCCCAACUCGCGGGAGCAAAGUGACCAAUGUUCGUUUUUGGUCUGCUUUUGACCCGUUCUCGUCCCAACUUUGGGCCGCAAUUGUGGCCGAACGGACAUGUGCGGCCGCCGCAUGGCGCGUGCCCAUGUCCUUCCUUGGCCCGCUAGUUGGGGACACAUGCGACACUUUUUCUAUUCCACCCCUUCCAACUUCACCCCACCCCAUUUCCCUCUCAUCCCACGCGUCAUCGUCACCAUUUUUAUUGGUCGUCCGAUGUCCAGCACGGCCUAUGAGCCCACCCCUUCCCUUGUCAUAGCCCCCUUUCCUCGAUGUCCCGAGCAGUCCAACCUUGGACGCUAGAUUUCACUGCAUUUGGUGACCGUAUUAGGAGCAGAUCAGGCCGGAUUGUAGUUCACACCGGCUGUCGGUGGUCGCAUAGUGCCAUGGACUGGCCAGAUACCAGUCCGCAUAGUCCCGGCAACGCCCCGAGGGUGGAUGCAGGUACUGACUCUGCCUCUAGCUGCUCAGAUCUACCUCGUCGUUGGUUUGCCGGAAAUACACCAACGACCGUCGUCCGGGCUCGGUGCUGACCCAAAUGCUUGUCGGCGCACCGAUGCCGCUCAUGAAGUGCGAAGACUGUCCACGGAAGGUCAUGCGCCGUGUGUCUACAACGCCGAAACAUGUCAGAUGGGUGUUUAUCAAGUGCAAAAAUGAUGGGGUAUGUGCUAGUUUAGCUUUGGUUGUGUUCCCGGAGUGUGUUCGUUUUUCUUACACUCAAAUAUUUAUUGUGUAAGAUGGAUGCAACUUUUGUUUUUGGAAAAAGAAUACAUUGAUAUACUGAAAGCGCAUAAUUUAAUAGAUGUUCGUGCACUUCUUGCUAGAGUACAUGCUAGAUAUGAGACUAGAUGUGAAUAAGGAAGCAUGCAAGAUCGGGACUCCGUAGAUCAACAAUUAACGCAUUGAGAAGGCACUAAUCCAACUUAUGAAAGCAGUUGUGGAAGUUGGAUAUCUUCUAAAAUUGAUUCUUAUAGUUCUCGUUUCCUUUGUUGUGUUAUUCUAAUCAAAAUUUGGUGAUGUAUUCCAAUGUAUCAAAGAAUCGAUGAUAAAAAUAAUAAAAAAUGUGUUGCAAAAAUUGUAUACGGACGAGAUGGAUUUGAAAUUCAGCCGCACAUUAGACACACCACCGCCGCAUUCAUAAAUUCAGACAGACGCGGUUUUAUUGUCACGCCUAAACGGACAAAAGACGGACAAAACACAUGUUGGUUUGAAGACUUGGUCGGAGUUGUCCUAAGGAGGGAUUUUUCAUAGGUAUCGAUCGGUGAAGUGAAGCAUUGGAAGGGACUAUUCAGUCCAUGAGGACCACCACGUCCCGAUUCCAUGCCCCAACUAAUUAAACAGGAGAACGACGGCUAGGGACUGGCAAAGCCAGGUUUAGAGUAAUGGAUGGGUGUACAGAGAUGAAGAUUAUUGUUAUCUUGGUAAAUGCUUUCGUUAAGCAUUCAGCUACACAGGCUUACGCUGAGAUCCAAAAUUACCUUGUGCACAAGGGAAGAAUCUAUAGAACUUCUUUCAGGUCCAAGAAAAUUUUAUAUACAGUUCAAAAAAAAAUACCGUUCAUAAAAAAAGUCCAGGAAGAUUAACCAGCACUAGGGUUUUUGCCACCAACUACACCAACCAGUCGCUUGUCCCAAUCGAGUGGAUCAACUCGCCUAACCUGCACGCAGUCUAUGCAUGGACCCGGUAGCUUUCGUGCCUCGGUUACUUUGUACCCACAGCUCCCAGAAGGAACACGCGCCUUGCCCUCGGAAAUGUGUAACAAGUCGCAACUCAAAGUCAAGACGAUCUGCAAUGGAAAUAAGCCGAUGGACGUACAUGAUCACAGCAAACGUCUUUCCCGCCUUUUCCACGGCAAUCUCGGAGUUGUUAGGAGAACGAAAGCAAACCUGCUGUGCCUGGUUGCAAGCAAUUGGAUAGAGCUAGGAAAGCUGCGCUCCACCAUCUUUUGACCCCGACGGCUCGACGUAGGACCGACCUUCGCCUCGCACGAGCAACUGCGGAAGCCUCGGUCAGCUCCAUCCGACUCUCAUCCUCGUCACCACCAAGAGCCUAUGCUAACUCCGGCACCAACACCCCUUAUAAAUACCACGCGCUUCCCCCUUCAAUGCCAAGUCAAGCAACCAAAUCCAAACCAAGCCAAGCAAGGAGCAGGGAGCGCUGCCAAGCAAGCUUACCAAUACUGUCUCCUCCGCCUGCGUCCACCGAUCACUUCUUUUCUUUCUCCCACCGAUGGCGGCCGUGAACAAGUCCGUCGACCGGGUGGCGCAGCGCCUGGUGGCACCGGCCGAACCCACGCCUGUCGGCCCGCUCCGCCUGUCCUGGCUCGACCGCUACCCUACCCAGAUGGCGCUCAUCGAGUCGCUGCACGUCUUCAAGCCGGCUCUUGACCGGCAUUUUGACGGCGGCGACGUGGCUGGCCCGGCGAGGACCAUCGAGGGGGCAAUGGCGCAGGCUUUGGUGCAGUAUUAUCCGCUCGCCGGCCGCCUGGGAUUCACGGAGGAAGGGGGGCUGCUGCAAGUUGACUGCGGCGGCGAGGGCAGCGGCGUCUGGUUCACGGAGGCCGUGGCAGGUUGCGCGCUCGAGGACGUGGAGUACCUGGAGCACCCCAUGAUGAUCGCCAAGGACGAGCUGCUCCCGCCCACGCCCGCCCAGGAGGAGGACGAGCGCAGGCUCGUCCUGCUCGUCCAGGUCACCACCUUCGCUUGCGGCGGCUUUGUUGUCGGAUUCCGCUUCAGCCACGCCGUCUCCGACGGCCCCGGAGCCGCGCAGUUCAUGGCCGCCAUAGGGGAGCUCGCCCGCGGCAGCACGGUGGAAGGCUUGACCGUGGAGCCGCAGUGGGGCCGCGAGGCCAUUCCCGACCCGUCCGGCGCAGUCAUCGGCAGCCUGCCGAGCCCCGCGGGCGCCAAGCGCCUUGAGUACCUCGCCAUGGACAUCUCCGCGGACUACAUCAGCCACUUCAAGUCCCAGUACAAUACGGAGCACACCGGAUCCUGGUGCUCGGCGUUCGAGGUGCUAGUGGCCAAGGCGUGGCAGAGCCGCACCCGCGCGGCGGGCUUCGAGCCAGACUCCACCGUCCACCUCUGCUUCGCCAUGAACGCCCGCCCACUACUGCACGCCACGCUCCCGCGCGGCGGCGCCGGGUUCUACGGCAACUGCUACUACAUCAUGCGCGUCUCGGCGCCCGCGGGCAAGGUGUCCGGCUCCUCGAUCCCGGAAGUGGUGAAGAUCAUCAAGGAUGGGAAGAGGCGGAUGCCGUCGGAGUUCGGGCGGUGGGCGACCGGGGAGGCCGGGGCCGAUGGCGGCGUGGACCCGUAUCAGAUCACGUCGGACUACCGGACGCUGCUGGUGUCGGACUGGACGCGGCUCGGGUUCGCUGAGGUCGACUACGGUUGGGGCCCGCCGGCGCACGUCGUGCCCCUCACCAACCUGGAUUACAUCGCGACGUGCAUACUGGUGAAGCCAUGGGCGCACAAGCCAGGAGCGCGGCUGAUCACCCAGUGCGUGACGCCGGACCGCGUCGCCGCCUUCCACGAAGGAAUGCUCGACAUGAACUGACCGGAGCUGUCCGGAGAAGAAGUGAAGCCGAAGGCAAAAGGAUGCGUGAUUAUAGAGAUAGAAACAGUUGUAUUUGAUUGGUUGAUGGGUGGGUUGAUUCAUGGUGAGUCUAAUUGAAAAUGAGCAAUUGAUCCUGAAUUUGAAGAGUGAUUUUCUUGAAGUAUCAUGUGCUUAUCUUCGGUUACAAGGUACCUAAUUAAGUGUCCAUUCUCAACAAAUAAGCAUCGGCGCUCGGGGUAAAAUGAGCAUCCUUGUAAGAGUAACUCUAGAAGAUCCGAUAAACGUCCA
This 68656-nucleotide long non-coding RNA is filed under the name Hordeum vulgare. Its description in RNAcentral is "long non-coding RNA (HVUL_LNC006610)". Lineage: Eukaryota; Viridiplantae; Streptophyta; Magnoliopsida; Poales; Poaceae. The record is from RNAcentral.